GCAUACCUUCAUUGAGCUGCCAAAGUCAAGCGUUGUGGGGUGAUGGAGUUUAGUUUGCUGCAAUUCAAGUUGAGUUUUCACACGUUUAACCUUUGUUAUAUGAGAAAGAGAGGUUUCAAUUUUUUGAUCUUAAUUUGUUUCUUCAGCGCUUUCAUCAAAAUUGGUGUUAACGUGGACUAUAUUCAGUUUGUCCUGUAAGGUCUGGACAUAAUUGUCAUUAUCUCAAAUCCGGUUUGAUAUAAUCAACAUCCAUUUUCUAGUUGAGGUCCAGUUUACACAGUGUUUUAGUCACAAACUUUGGAUGAGAGUUGCAACUAUCAUAUGCAAGGCGGAUGCUCCAGCUUGAGGGGAAUUGUUGAAAUACAUUUAUAAUGUUAGGCUAUUAGCUAGUAGUUAGUAGGUGGUCAUAUAUAAGGAAAUUAAGGUUUUGCUAGUGUCUCUAUUGAUCUAUAAAUAGAGCCAUCUAUUUACUUUGUUAUUUAGUAAUUGAGUAAAGGUGUAGUCUUUAUUUAUAUUCUCCUUUUACUCUCUAUUGAAGAUUGUAGAAUAUAUACACUUGUAACAGGGUUCUUUUUGUCACAACAUGAGUUAUACUACAUCCUUUAAUGGCUUUGGUACAAUAGGAAGUGAAUCAGAAUUCUUCUAGUCUGUGUAUGUCUGCAUCAGUAUUUUCAAUAGGCCUCAGAAUACUUCUUAGUAAAUCCAGCAGUUUGCAAAUUGGACCAGAGCAGAACUUGACUUUUCAAUUACGUAGAAGCGUUUGACCACUUGUAAUCUACUGAAUUAUUUAUUUAUCAACAUUGUUGUCUUUUGUUUUGCAAAACAUAAGAAUUUUAUUUUCUUGCACUAGAUUUACCUCACGUGUGCUCUGCAUCCCUGUAGGAGAAAUCUUGAGCACGCUGGAGAGGAGGAAUCUCUUAUGAUGGAAGGUGAAAUUGGUGGUGGACUGGCUAUUCAACGACUCAUAUCUAUCAGAAAGGACAACCCUAAGGUGUUUCAAAUUGACUCUAGCCUUGUAGCCAGGAAAGUUGGUGCUGGUUCUGGUGGAUUUUCAAGGUCAGCCCAAACACAGUCUUGGAGAAAGUUACACAACUACAAAGGACUUCUGAUAACAGGCCUUUACGAAAUGAGCAAUUAUGUUAAUGCUAAGAAAAUGUUAUGAAAAACUCAUUGCUCGUCACUAUUGAGAGUACAUGCUUAAAGUUGAGCCUGCAUUUUUCUUACAGUGAAUAAAUAUAAUCAGAAAAUUAAAUGGAGAUAUCAUUAGAGGACUGCAUUUUAUGCUUUUUGUUUUUUGUCGUCAUAUAUUCACCCCAUAUUCACCCUUUUGCACCCUAAACUUUCAGAUUGGUGAUGAUCACCUAUAAUGGUUGUUUAUAUUCUGCUGUAGGUUGGUCUGCUUGAGAGUACACCCCACAUUCGCCCUGUUGCACCCUACAGAAUCUUUUAUCUCAUUUACAGCUGUCGAUGGUUCUAAGCAUGAACUUUGGCCCGAUUCUGGCGAGCAGACUUUUGAAGGGAAUCUUCUACCUAAGGGUAAUCGUUUUUUCUUACCUUUUCUUUUGGUUCUGCAUUUUGUUAUCUUCUGCAAAGGCCUGGGUAACUGGAGAGCUAUACUCCAUAAUAAACCAAGAUCCGGUUGCAUCACUCCACUUUUUGGAAUUCUUACACUGGGUUGUCAAAAACUGGCACGGGAUUACAAAUACCUUAGUAAACCAAGAUCCAAGUGCAUUGUUCAAGAUUUUGGUACUUCUACUGUCUUGGAUCACCAAAAGUUGGUUUGCAUCGACUUUUUAAUGCUGGUAUUAGUUUAACAGAAAUAUUCCAGAAACCAUUGAUGCUUUAAGUGAUUAACAAGAAAUAAAAGAGCUGAGGUAACAAAAUUGAGCUAAGUAUACUCCUCUCUUCAAGUACUACCAGCCCAGCCUCCAACCAAGCUGAGUCCACUUCUCCAAAUGUCUUACUACUCAUACCAUCUGUUCCACACAGCUUCAGCAUCGGUCGCUUCUAUAGUAAACCCUUGUACAGAACCAGCUGCUCCUAUAAAACGGAACAGUGGUCUCCUAUCAAUGCCCCCAUAUAGUUAAGCCUCUCCCUCUCAUAUAAAUUUGUAAACACACUCCGCAGCUCUUACUAGGGAUGAGAUGAUACAAAGACAGUUCAAAAUACACUUGAGGUCUUUCAAAGUUCAGCACAAGUGGAAGUAUGAGAAUCAAGGUGUAGGCUCUUCAUAUCGGUAGUAUUCUCGUUAUAGCCUAUUCUCGUCUCCUGCUUCGAAUUCCAGUCCUCAAUUCUCGUUGACCCAAAUGCCAGAGGUCCCUUAGCCAGCCAUCAUUGUCUUCCUUCUCCAUCCUUGUGUAUAUCUUCAUAUGGCCUUGCAUUAAUCAAUGUCAAUUGAUAGGUCCAUGAGAUUUCCUUCCAUGAAAGCACCUAUCAGCUUUGAUUCCUCUAUAUCCGAUUUCAUUCAAUUAGCUACUGCAUAUCUGGACGUUCCAUUUCAUCAAUAGGUUGAGUAUGGCGAUGUUCUUCACUUUCUUCAGAUGCUUAUACCUACAUAUGCUUAAAAUCUUCAUCAAGUGGAUCUCCAAUCACCAUAGAUAAUUUCUGUACAUCUUUUGAGAGAUCCAUACAUCUGCUUUGGCAUAAAUUCUAAUUUUCUCACUCUUUUCCAUGAUAAAUGAAUAUCUAGUUUUAGGUUGGGUUAAAUUAUAUCUGAUUGAGUAUAAUUUCAUCAAUCAAGUUCAAGUGUCAGAUCUUCAGAUUGAAUCAUUCAAAACUCAAUUCGAAUUUUGAAGUUGCAGGUUUGUUAAGCACAUUUUGCUCCUGGGAUAGAAUGUCCUACUUCUGUUGUUGGCAAACUUCCUUCCACUGUUUACAACACUUCUUGCUCUGUAACCCUUCCAGCUUCUAUUUUCCUGUCCUCUGUGGAAUAUUUUCUUCUUUGACUACCUAACUUAGGUGUCGUUAACUAUAGCAUCCACUCAAAUGAACUUGAUUAACCCAAAUUUAGUUUGUUGUCAUUAACGUAUUUUUCUCCUAGUGUUCGAAAAAUUCCUUUAAGGAUGAUGACCUUUUGGAUAGAACAACCAUUAAUUGGUCAUCGAACCAGCACCCAGUCGUUUUUGACGUUUUUCUUUUUUCCCUAACAAAUGAGGAUGUUCUUUAUCUUGGUGCCUGACGGUCUUUUUUUUUUUUUUUAGGUGAAUGGUCGCUCUGGGACAAAUGCCUUGGUGUGGGACUAGUCAAUCGGUUCAAUGUCAGUGAGGUCGUCAAGUGUUUGAUCCACUGGGGAACCGAAACAGUUAAUCUGGAACUGUGGUCGGAAGAGCGGCCCGUUUCCAAAGAGUCCCCUUUGAAGGUGUCCCAUGAAUAUGAGGUUGUAAGAAUGUCCUGAAUUUUCCAUAUUCCACUGUGACGCUAAGAAAACUGAGAAGUCUGAAUAAAUAUUUGAGCUUGCUCUGGUUGUCGUUUCGCAUGUCUAGAAAAUCAUGUCGUCGCAGUGUUUUGACUGAACAACAGGAGCAUUAUCGCGAAGGAGAAAGUGAAUUAAUGUGCGCUAUGCUAAGGCUCCGUCUAUCGCCUGUCUGUGGUCAUUUUCACUGAAUUCCAAUCACAGGCUUGUCACAAUUGCACAAAUCUUGCUUUUCAUCUAUGACCAUUGGAUGGCCAAGUCUUGUUACCAUCUCUGUUUAUGCUUCCAAAAGUUUGCAUCUUUUCGAGCAACAUGUCAACUACAAAUUCAGUGGAAAAUCAGCAGAAUCAUCACAAUUAGCCUAAAAAAAAGGAGAAUAUGCAUCUUUGUUAACAUGUGUCGCUAAGCUUCACCAAAAUAUACAUAAAUCAGUUCAACAAAUUUUAUCAUCAGCGAAUCUACUCAUUUCUGGUUUAGCCAAUCUAAGCACUCAAUCAGCUUUUGCCGUUGGUUAUACUUUCAGUCGCCUAGCGAAGUUCCAGGGUCUUCACGGGCCCAUCUUCAAAAUGUCGGGUCGAUUCCUUCCAAUAAAUGAGCUUCUAUCGAAGCAGCUAAUAUGCUGCUUUGUCGCAGGUGAUCUCGACAAAAAUCAAAUGUGAUCUAUUUUUUAAAAUUUAUUGUAGUAUAAGCACCAUAGCAAUUUUGUCUCAUAACUUUUAAGUUGUUCAAUAUAGUUUAUGAACUUUAGCUUAAUAUGCAAUGUUGCCCCUGAACUUUUAAUUUGUCUAAUGUGGUAUUUCAAUCUAUAGGAUAUGUUCAAUCUAGUCCAUGAAUUAUAUUAAAAUAUCCAAUAUUAUCUUUUUCAUUAAUUCAAGGUUAUGGUCAAUGUUGAAAAUUUUAAAUAUAAUUCAGUGACUAGAUUGAAUAUGCACAAAAAGUUCAAAUUAAAAGUAUAUGGAAAAUAUUACACAUGAAGAUAAAGUUCAAGAUAGUAUUGAACAAAUUGAAACUUUAGGAAUGACAUUGAACAAUAUGCUAAAGUUCACGAAUUAUUUGUAUAUUUUCCCUAUGACCUUCAUGCAAAACAAUAGUGGGGCCCGAUACUUAUACUCUUACACUAAGAUUGAUCAUAUAUCCUUGUGAUUUUUCAACAUCUCUCAAUCAUGGGAGAUGUCUUGAAAUUGAGGUAGUUGCCUAUUGUUCAUGGGAACUGCCACCACCAUAUUGAAUCAUUGCCAUCCCUAUAACCAUCUUGCUGUUUCGCAUAGUACUUGCUUCAAUUUAAUUGAAUCUAUCCUUCCGUUUGAAGGAACUAACAUAAAUUUACAUUUUGCUGUAAAGAUGUUGCUAGAUUUUGUAAUUUCUAAACCCAUCCUAGUUGACACGAUAGUAGUCAGUCAGUGACUGCUAUUCUCCAAUUCUCAAAUUCUAAAAGGUUUGACUCUAAAAUUGGCCAUGCCUAAGAAUAGCACCCUGUAUUGCACUUACCAUUUGGGCUACCUUGGAGUUGCAGGAGAGAAGACAUGGCUUGAACAUUUUAUCAUUCGCUUCAAGCAGAAAGCUUCUCCCCAGACGAACUCCAAUUCUUCGAUCAACCGCAAACCAGUCCCUUUUCUAUCUCAUAAAUCUGCCAUUUGGAAAGUACCAUCGUGAAUUAGAACGGAUGAUCUUGGUCAAACAUGAGUUCUUUAUUCAUCAACAGCAAGAUGGGGUUAUUUCACAAGGGGGAAAAGGAAUCGAAGUACAAUUACCAUGAGGUUCACGACGAUGAACUCCUGUAGCCAGAAUCAUUUUGAUGAACACAAUAGUGGAUUCUAAACACUGUAAUGAGUACCGAAAUUAUUUAAUAGUAAAAGACAUAGUCCUCGAGCAUAUAACGAACUUUUGAUCCUUCACAGCACUUUAGUGAUCUGGAAUAUUUCAGUGAUACCCUAGUAGAGCAGGAGCUUCCUUCAGCUCACGUCCCUGAUAAUGUAUGUCCUGAAACAAUUCAUCCAUUUCAACCAGUCAAGAUCAGAUUGAGUAUACAGUCCGAUUGAUAAAUCGCACAAGUGCUAUAAAAAUUUGAGAGGUGCUGUGAAUGAGAUCAUUACCGAUGCAAAGUGGUUCACAUCCCGGUGAUGUGCCUCAUCAGCUCUCACCACGAGCACGACAUCCCUCAGAGUGGAUCCUUCGGGGAGCUGCCAAUAGUCAGAUGGCGAUGGCCGGAGCCGGGACAUUCUCGAUAUUUCCAUUGCCCAACUCCUUCAGGAACUCGGUGUAGGAGUGUAUGGCCUCUUCUUCAAGGUAGCCAACCACCCGGUGGGCAAAUUUGGGAGAGAUCAGAUAGCCCAGGAAGUAGGCGUUGAAGAAGACGCCCUGGACUGCAAACACGAGGGCGCGCUCGUACCAUCUUGGCUGCGAAACCUCCAUGAAGGUCAUGAGGUGCAUGCGUUCAUUCUCAGCUUCUUCUAGCAAGGCUUUGAUCCAACCACCACUGUGCUCGAACUGCUUCAGCGAUUUGCAGUGCAGAAGCAAUCCUCCGACCAUGCCGGGCACCGCUGCCACGGUCUCCAGCAUCAUCGCUCUGCAGCCAUAUCUUCUCUAUUCACAAGAAAUAAAUGUUCAUGUCAAAACUCUUGGGAGCGAAUCGCGCGUUUAGCCUCUUACGCCCUUACUGUUGGAGAAAACUUCCUUGAGUGUUUUGAAGUUGACAAAACGUUUCCAUCAGUCUAGUCUGAAGACUUGCAGACUCUUCCAUUAAAGUCUGAAGACCUCCGGACUGCCAGACUCAAGACUCAAAGUCUAUCCUCAUUGAUAAUUUCUAGACCGUCGAAGAAGACUUAUCCAGAACUGGAUGUUUCGUCAAGGAUUUGACUUUAUUGACUAGAGUAGAUCUUCUGGCUGGAUAUAGCAUGACAGAAUCCUUUAUUCUGAUCAAGACUGAUUUGGGAAUCGUGGAUUUGUUGAUUGGCGAAGUAUAUUUGGAAGGUUCUACUUAUGGAAACCAAGAUCCUGAUUAUAUGGGCGAACAUGAUUGAUGGGCUAUCGUCAUGUUCCUUAAAUAGCUCGAAGAUUUUCCUAAUUGAUUCUGUCCAAUGGGUAGAUUGCAAGAACUCCUUUGGUAAGUGCCAACGGGUAUGAUGGCAUAAAUGAGUAUAUAAGGAAGAUGUUCCAGUUGUUCAAGUGUGUGCGCGAUAGAAGAAUUCCAAAGUCUAAAGCUCCUUGUUCUUAGUCAAUUAAACCGCUGAGCGAAAUCUUGUACGCAAAAGAGAGUCUAUAUCAUUGAGAGACCUUGAGGAAGUGUAGUAGAGUCUCUACACUGUGGAAUCAAGGAAGAGCCUAACUGUAACAACUCUUUUGUUCAUAGUGAAAUCUAGCUAGUGGGCUGUCAAUGCGGAAGAGUGGACGUAUGCUUAGAUUAAGCCGAAUCACUAUAAUCUCUGUGCUCAUAUUCUCUUAUCUACACUCUUUUAUUUUGAUCGUAAUUCGUUUUGAGAAUUUCCUUUUCAUAAUUUAUUGUUGAUUAGCACUGCACAUAUCUCGCAAAAUUGUUUAUGCACCUAUUCACCUCCCUCUAAGUGCUUAUACUAGCUCUCACACUAACAUAUCAAAGAUAAAAUUUAACAUAAAAAAAAGGUCUAGCUCCCAUGAUGGACAGUGGUUGGAAAGAAGACAAUUUACCCCUAAUUACCAAUUAGACGCAUAAACUCGUAUUUUAAAUUCAUAAAUAAGAUGAAAAAAGAAAAGAAAUUACUUUGAUAUUUAAUUUAAAAAAAAUUCCAACAUCAGCUUCACAUGAUUUUAUAAAAAUUCGAGGUGUUCUAUUAAAAUAAAAAUUAAAUCUUUAAAUUCAGAACCAAAUAUAAAAACCCCCCUCAUAAAACAAAGAGAAAAAAAAAUGGAAAAGAAAAGGCCGAAGGCACAGUCAGCAAUUUCAAACGCAAUCUAAAACUUUUUGUCUAUGAAAUCUUCGUCCAUUUCAAAGAGCGAGAUCACCCUGGCUCAUUCUGUCUCUACAGGUACAACUCCAUAUCAAACAUCGACUAGUCCAUGCACGAUGGAACACUAACCAAGAUCAUGUGCGUUCUAAGUUAUAUGUUCUAAUAGAUCUUGACAUGCCGAGGGCUAGCGUACGUGUAGAUCGGCUAACGAUCCAACUAUCCGAUCUUUAGGAUUAGAUGGAGAACUAGGCGUUGAACCGCCAGAUGUGCGGAACUUGCCGGAUCAUAAACUGAAGAUGAGGACGUACCUAGAAGAAUAUGUCCGUGGGGUAUCUCAAGGACUUGACCGUCCAGAAGGCCAACUUGUCCAAGAACGUCAUGUCACGCCCCGAACCUCGAGCGCGCCAACAUCCCAUCAUGGUCAUGCAAAUGCGACAUUCCCAGGUAGUAUCGCUGACCCCAUUCAUUUAUUAUUGCGCAAGUGGAACGUAUUAUAAAACCCUUGAAAAUAAAAUACGGGAUAGAAAAGCAGGAAGCAAAACCACAACAUAACACUUUUAUAAUUCAACAGAAUUACAAACAGAGGUCUAUGGCCAAAAGUCUACAAAAGACUGGCUCUUAAAAAGGAAUUGUCCUACGACAUACAAGUCGGACACGCUCUCCAAUCUUUAUGACUUCACCUCUGCAAUUCCUCAAGGCCAACUGAAGUUCUGCCUGCUCCGUCCACCAGGAACCUGAAAUUGUAAUCCCUCAAUCGGGAUAAAACAAUGUCUCAGCAAGUUCAACCCCCUAAACCCCUAUUAGACAGUAAAUACGCCCUAGAUUGGCCUAGCCACAACAUCAAGAAGACUUACCUCGCAUUAGUCCUCAUUUGUAGGUUAGCACAUUUUAUAUAAUUCAACCACAUGCAAUUAUGAUAACUAAACAACUAUGGCACAAUCACAUUAUUAGAACAAUUCAACCACUUGGAUCGUCUCAGCGAUCAAUCGACUCGACCGAUUACAUGUCAUUCUAGCGAAUCAAUCGUUGCUUCCAAUCACGACCCUAUAGGAAGGUUUAACAACCAGUGGCAAUCAUGGCCCCAUUCGGCACGACCUUUAAUUAGGUGGUAGAUCUUGGUCCGAUGGGCACGACCUCUAAUAGGUGGUCAAUCACGGCCCCACUAGGCAUAACCUUUAAUAGGUGGUCAAUCACGGCCCUAUUGGGCACGACCUCUAAUAGGUGGUCAAUCAUGGCCCUAUUGGGCACAACUUUUACCAGGUGGUCAAUCACGGCCCUACUGGGCACAACCUCUAAUAGGUGGUCAAUCACGGCCCCACUGACACGACCUCUAAUAGGUGGUCAAUCACAGCCCCACUGGGCACAACCUUUAAUAGGUAGUUAAAUACGGUCGUUCUUCCAUCAAAUUUUGACACUUUGGAUUUUAUAAAAAGAAUCCCUAUUUAUCACAAUCACACUCCAUUUGCAACAAUCAAUCAUCAAAUUCAAAUCCUAAAUACACAGCAGCGAUCGGCACGAAAUUCUGAGCAAUCGGGGUUAAAAAUAAAUUUUCAGUUUUUUUUAUAUAAAUAAUAUUAUGUUAAUAAUUUCGUAAUAUAAUAUAUUAUUAAAAAUUCCAGAAUUUCGAAACAUUUAAGUAAAUAAAAAAUAAAACCCUAUUAUGUCCCAUUAAUGUUUAUUAUUAAAUAAACUCUCUUAGCCUUUAAUUAAACAUGCUUUAAAUUAAACAAACAUCUUAAUCUAAAUCACAAUUAAAUAAACUAAACUAAUCACCUAAGCUUACUUAACUUAGACUAAGCACACUUAGGGCAUCAUUAACCGUCUAAUCAAGAUUUAGUGAACUAAACUCACCCGAUUAACAAACCGAGCAGACCAAAACGACGGGGACGCUGAGGGGAACAACUUUUCUCAAAGCGGGCCAAGCAUCCGGGGUCGGGAAGACGGCCAAAAUGGGUCAAACGCCCGCUGCCAUACCCAUUUUUCUGCUCACCGAUGGCUGCUAGUUGGGGGUGGAUCCGGCGCCGGUUGAGGCGAGCAAGGGUCGAGAGGGGCUGAGGGAGUCCUGGCGGGCUGAGGCGGGGGUGCACGGCAGCUCACGGCGGUGGAGACGAGCUCCGACGGCUCUUGGAACACACGAAGCGAGGUUGAGACGCAGCUGGGUGUCGGCCAAGCGCGGGCGAGCGCGGGUAGCGGCGAAACGCGAGAAGGCGAGCGGCGAUGGGUAGUCGCGUGCGGCUGCUCUGAUGGUGCUGCUGGCUGCUCCGACGUCUUCUUAGGUCUGCUAGGACGUCGAGCAGCAGCUGGAGAUGGAGGAGAGAGGGAGGCGGUGGCGCAGGUCGUGGCGUGAGCGGAUGGCGAGCAGCUUGGUGGCGCAAACGGCGGCUUGAGGUGGUGAUGGUUGCUCCGGGCAACUUGUUGGCGACGUGCAGCUCUUCUCUGGUUCACUGGUCUACUGGGCUUUCGAAGAAGAAGAAGAUGAAGAUGGAGAGAGGAGGAAACGGUCGCACAGUAGAGAGAGGGAGGAGAGAGGCAAUCGAAGGGAGAGAGGGAGGAGAGAGAAGGAAGAGGGGAUGACUUUUCUCUCUCUCAUGGCCCACCAUGACCUCAUGGAUGAUGUCACACUUCACUAUCUCCCACAACCUUAUUCCAAUGGUUGCAAUUCCAUUUUCCGCCGGGGCAUAAAAUCUUAUACAACAAAUUCUUCAAUUCCACUUGAUUCUCUUCCAAUUGAAUCAAAUUGAAGACCAUAAAAUUAAUCCGAUGUCACCACACUUCAAUUCACAUCUUCACUUGUCCAUAAAACCAACUUAAGUCCCAAAAGCACAACCAAGGGUGGGCCUAUUAAUUUUUCGAACCAAAUUAGCCAUAAUUUGAUUUAAUUGCUAAAAAAUUCUGAUUACAUGAAAAAUCUUCCGAAGAUGAGUCAAUGAUCCUAAAAUGAUUUGUGCCACACUAGGACUUCCAAUUUAUGAAUUCGAUCUCAAUUUCACGGUUAAUUUCACUUCGGCACGAUACUGUUGGAGAAAUCUUUCUGGAAUAUUUUGAAGCUGACAAAACGUUUCUAUCAGUCUAGUCUGAAAUUUUGCAGACUCUUCUAUUAAAGUCUGAAGACCUCUGGACUACCAGACUCAAGACUCAAAGUCUAUUCUCAUUGACAGUUUUUAAUCCGUUGAAGAAAGGCUAUCCAGAACUACUUCAUUAAGGAUUUGGCCUUAUCGACUGGAGAAGAUCUCUUGGCUGGAUAUGACAUAACGGAUUCCUUUAUUCAAAUCAAGAAUAAUUAAAGAUCCGAUGAUUGGCGAAGUAUUCUUGGAAGGUUCUACUUAUGGAAACCAAGAUCCUGAUUGUAUGGGCGAGCAGGAUUGAUGGGCUAUCGAUAUGUUCCUUUAAUAGCUCAAAUAAUAUUCCUAAUUGAUUCUAUCCAACGGGAGGAUUGGAAGAAUUCCUUUGGUAAGUGCCAACGGGUAUGAUGGCACAAAGGAGUAUAAAAGGAAGACGUUCUAGGUGUUCGAGGUAUGCACGAUAGAAGAAUUCCAAAGUCUGAAGCUCUUUGAUUCUUAGUCAAUUCAUUUACUGAGCGAAAUCUUGUACGCAAAAGAGAGUCUAUACUUUGAGAUACCUUGAGGAAGUGUGAUAGAAUAUCUACAUUGUGGAAUCAAGGGAAAGCAGUGCUGUAACAUCUCUUUUGUUCAUAGUGAAAUCCAGCUAGUGGGCUGUCAGUGCAGAAGAGUGGACGUAGGUUUGGAAUAAGCUGAACCACUAUAAACCUUGUGUUUAAUUUUCUCUUCCUUACUCUCCGCUUUACUUUGAUCAUAGUUCGAUUUGUUAACUAAAGGAGAGCUUCAUUUCUGUUGUUAGUCCAGUAUUGCUUUCAUAUCUCGAGAAAUUAUUUUUACACCUAUUCACCUCCCUCUAGGUGCUCAUACUAGCUAUAUCAGUUGGUAUCAGAGCAUGUGUACUCACUUUGUUUGAAGUGUUUUACUUCAGAGUUAAAGAUCCAUGGCUAGUAUGCUAGCUCCAGGGCCGGUGGAAGGGCAGAGCAAUACCAUACCACUUUACUUUGAUGGAAAUGAUUACAACAUCUGGAAAAACAAGAUGAAAGUGUUUCUACGAUCAAAGGAUCCUCUGGAAUGGGACGUUGUAGAAAAAGGAAUCACUCCUAAAGCUGGAUCUGUCACAGAGAGAGGAAAAGAAACUGUUGAGUCAAGUGAAAUGACUCAGGAAGAGAUAAUCAAGAGACAAGCUCUUGAUGCAAAAACAAUUUAUUCUUUAUAUUGUGCUUUAUCACCUACUGAAUAUAACAGAAUAUCUUCUUGUGAUACAACAAAAGAAGUCUGGGAUAGAUUACAUAUCACCUAUGAAGGAACUGAUCGAGUGAAAGAGACCAGAAUCAACAUUCUCCUCGGUCAAUAUGAAGCCUUCAAAAUGAAAUCAGGAGAAUCUAUAACUGACAUGUUUAGUCGUUUUACAGAAAUCAUGAAUGGUCUUCAAAAUCAAGGUCAACCAAUUUCUGAUCCCAUGAAGGUAAACAAGUUACUGCGUGGACUCUCCAAGGAUUGGAAUCACAUAAAGACCUCAAUAAGAGAGACACAAAGAAUCAUGCCACUAUCUGUCGAUGACUUGGUUGGAACUUUUCAGUCUUAUGAAGUAGAACGAAUCAAUGAAGACGAAGAUCCUAAAGGUAAGAAAUCCAUUGCAUUAAAAUCCAAUGAUGAUUCUGAUGUCACAGAUUCUGAAGACAAUAUGGAUGAUGAGGAACUUGCUCUCAUGAUAAAAAGAUUCAGAAAGCUAAACAGAAAAGGAAGAAGAUUCAAUCCAAAGAAACAGAGUUUUCAAAAGCAACAGACCAAGUCUGUUGAUGAUGAUGAAUUAAACAAAGAUGUAGUCUACUUUGAAUGUAAGAAAAAUGGACACAUCAGACCCAACUGUUCUCUUCUGAAAAAGAAGAAAGGAAAAGCUGAAAAGUAUCGAAAGGCUCUUAAAGCAGAAACCUGGAGUGAUACAGAGUGUGAAGAAAGUGAUGAUGAUUAUGCCAAUAUAUGUUUGAUGGCACAAUCGGAUUCAAAUUCAAACUCCGAGACAGACUCAGAUUCAGACAGUGAAUUUGAGGUAAGUAACUUUAAAAUUCCUGUUAAAAUCUCUAAAUACAUUGAUCAGCUGUGUUUUAGUCUUAAGACUUCUCUUAAAAGGAUUUCCGAACUUAAAAAGGAAAACUCUGCACUAAAACAACAGGAAAAUGUUUUGAAAGAAAAGUUGAAACAUUUAGACACGAAUGUUUCUACUCUUAAGGAAAGCGAAGAUAAUCUCUUGAAAGAAAAUGCAUUUUUAAAAAAUAAUUUAUCAAAUAUUUCAAAAAGAUUCUCAAUAGGAUCUGAUAAACUUGAAAAAAUUCUUUCAGCACAAAGACUUUAUUUCAAUAAAUCUGGUUUAGUAAUGACAGCAGAAACCAUUCCUUUAAUUGAUUUUCCUAAAGUAAAGGAAAGAAUUAAGCAGAGACCUUCAAAGACAUUUUACAAAAAUCAUUUUCAAAAAGUGUUUGUAAAACUAGUGGGUCAAAAUGCUCUCAGAUGUUCAAAAUGCAAUAGUGCUGAUCAUUUUGAAAAAGAGUGUCCUAUGGUUUGGAAACCUGUUAAGAAAGUAUGGGCAAAAACCGCAUAUUAUACUAACACCAAUGGAUCCAAGAAAAUAUGGGUAUCAAAGAAAGCUUAAGUCUUUUUAAAUGCAGGUCACUAUCAAGAAAAAGGUAAAAUGGUAUCUGGAUAGUGGAUGCUCAAGACAUAUGACAGGAGACUCAAAUUGCUUCAUAAAGCUCGUACAAGUAAAUGGUGGAAAAGUCUCAUUUGGAGGAAAUAGCAAAGGAAGAAUUGUGGGAUUUGGAACUGUUGUUGGAGAAAUCUUCUUGAAGUGUUUUGAAGUUGAGAAAACGUUUCUAUCAGCCUAGUCUGAAGGCUUGCAGAGUCUGCUGUUUAAAGUCUGAAGACCUCCGGACAGCCAGACUCAAGACUCAAAGUCUAUCCUCAUUGACAGUCUCUAAUCCGUUGAAGAAAGGUUAUCCAGAACUGGAUGUUUUGUUAAAGAUUUAACUUUAUCAACUGGAGAAGAUCUCGUGGCUGGAGAAGACAUAACAGAGUCCUUUGAUUGAUCGAAGAUUGACUCGAUAAUUGAAGAUCCGGUGAUUGCCUAAAUAUUAUUGGAAGGUUCUGCUUAUGGAAACCGAGAUCCUGAUUGUAUGGGCGAACAGGAUUGAUGGGCUAUCAACACGUUCCUUUAAUAGCUUGAACAAUCUUCCUAAUUGAUUCUGUCCAACGGGUAGAUUGAAGGAAUUCCUUUGGUAAGUGCCAACGGGUAUGAUGGCAUAAAGGAGUAUAUAAGGAAGACGGUCUUAGUUGUUCAAGGGGUGCGCGAUAGAAGAAUUCCAAAGUCUGAAGCUCCUUUUUGUUUAGACAAAUCCUUUGAGCGAAUACUUGUAUACAAAAGAGAGUCUAUAUUUGUGAGAAAUCUUGAGGAGGUGUGAUAGAACAUCUACACUGUGGAAUCAAGGCAAAGCUGUGCUGUAACUUCUCUUUUGUUCAUAGUGGAAUCCAGCCAAUAGGCUGUCAGUGAAGAAGGGUGGACGUAGGCUUGAUAUAAGCCGAACCACUAUAAACCGCGUGUUCAAUUUUCUCUUCUCUCAGUCUUACUUUGAUUAACGUCUCCUUCUACUGUCUAGUAUUGUGCAAUUGUUGAAGAAAAAUCUUUUAUAUACCUAUUCACCCCCCUCUAGGUACUCAUACUAGCAAUAUCAAUUGGUAUCAGAGCCUGUGUACUUACUUUAUUUGAAGUGUUUUACUUCGUAGUAAAAGAUCCAUGGCUAGUAUGCUAGCACCAGGGCUGAUGGAAGGGCAAAGCAAUAUCAGACCACCCUACUUUGAUGGAAAGGAUUACAACAUCUGGAAGAACAAGAUGAAAGCUUUCCUUCGAUCAAAGGAUCCUUUGGAAUGGGAUGUUGUAGAAAAAGGAAUUACUCCUACCACUGCAUCAGUCUCUGAAAGAGGAAAAGAAACUGAUGAGACUAGCGAAAUGACUCAGGAAGAGAUAAUUAAGAGACAAGCACUCGAUGCAAAAGCAAUUUAUUCCUUAUAUUGUGCUUUGUCACCAACUGAAUAUAAUAGAAUAUCUUCUUGUGUUACAGCAAAAGAAGUUUGGGACAGAUUGCAUAUCACCUAUGAAGGAACAGAUCGAGUGAAGGAAACAAGAAUCAACAUUCUUCUCGGUCAAUACGAAGCCUUCAGAAUGAAAUAAGGAGAAUCUAUAUCUGACAUGUUUAGUCGUUUUACAGAUAUUGUGAAUGGUCUUGAAAAUCAAGGUCAACCAACUUCUGAUCCCAUGAAGGUAAACAAGCUACUGCGUGGACUCUCCAGGGAUUGGAAUCACAUAAAGACUUCGAUAAGAGAGACGCAAAGAAUUAUGCCACUAUCUGUCGACGAGCUAAUUGGAACUCUUCAGUCUUAUGAAGUGGAACGGAUCAAUGAAGAUGAAGAUCCAAAAGGUAAGAAAUCCAUUGCAUUAAAAUCAAAUGAUGAUUCUGAUGAUAUAGAUUCUGAAGAAGAUAUGGACGAUGAGGAGCUUGCUCUCAUGAUAAGAAGAUUCAGAAAACUGAAUAGAAAAGGAAGAAGAUUCAACUCAAAGAAACAAAGCUUUCAAAGACAGCAGACCAAGUCUGUUGAUGAUGAGGAACCAAACGAAGACGUAGUCUGCUUUGAAUGUAAGAAAAAGGGACACAUCAGACCCAACUGUCCUCUUCUGAAGAAGAAGAGAGGAAAAGCUGAAAAAUUUCGAAAAGCUCUCAAAGCCGAAACCUGGAGUGAUACAGAGUGUGAAGAAAGUGAUAAUGAAUAUGCCAAUCUAUGUCUGAUGGCACAAUCAAACUCAGACUAUGGAUCAGACUCAGACAAUGAAUUUGAGGCAAGUAAUUUUAAAAUUCCUGUCAAAGUUUCUAAAUACAUUGAUGAACUGUGUUUUAGUCUUAAGACUUCUCUCAAAAGAAUUUCCGAACUGAAAAAGGAAAACUCAGCUCUAAAACAAAAGGAAAAUGUUUUAGUAGAAAGAGUUAAAAGUCUAGACAUGACUGUUUCCACUCUUAAAGAAAAUGAAGAUAAUCUUUUAAAAGAAAAUGCUCUUUUAAAAACAGACUUAUCAAAUAUUUCAAAGAAAUUUUCAAUAGGGUCUGAAAAACUUGAGAAAAUUCUUUCAGCUCAAAGACCUUACUUCAAUAAGUCCGGUCUAGGUAUGACAGCAGAAACAAUUCCCUUGAUUGAUUUUCCUAAAGUAAAAUAAAGAAUUAAGAAAAGACUCUCGAGAGAGGCUUACAAAAAUCACUUCAAGAAAGUUUUUGUAAAAUCUGUAGGUAGAAAUGCUCUCAGAUGUUCAAAAUGCAACAGUCCGGAUCACUUUGAAAAAGAGUGUCCUAUGGUUUGGAAACCUGUUAAGAAAAUAUGGGCUAAUACUGCUUAUGUUACUAACACCAAAGGACCCAAGAAAGUUUGGGUACCAAAGAAAGCUUGAUACUCUAUUUUAAAUGCAGGUCACCGUCAAGAAAAAGGUAAAGUGGUAUCUUGACAGUGGAUGCUCAAGACACAUGACAGGAGACUCAAAAUGAUUUAUAAAGCUUGCUCAAGUAAAUGGUGGAAAAGUUUCAUUUGGAGGAAACAACAAAUGAAGUAUUGUGGGAUUUGGAACUGUGAAAAUUGGAAAUCUCACAAUAAGUAAUGUUUCCUUAGUGGAAGGACUCAAUUACAAUCUUCUCAGCAUUAGUCAACUGUGUGAUACUGGUUUCAAGAUCUUCUUUCAAGAAGGAAUAUGUUCUAGAAUCAGUAAAGACUCUACUUAGUCUUUCAUGGGUCGAAGACAUGGAAACAUCUAUCUUCUGGAUGUGAAACCAAAUGAAUCGCAAUGUUUUAUCUCAAUUCAAGAUGCAGCAAGCUUAUGGCACAGAAAGCUUGGUCAUGUCAACAUGAAGCAAUUAGCCAAAAUCUCAUCAAAACAGCUUGUUCGAGGACUACCCAAAUUACCUUAUCAAAAGACUGAUCCAUGCACUCCAUGUAUUCUGGGAAAGCAGGUAAGAAAUUCAUUUAAGCCAAUAAAUCAUGUCUCUACUAAUCAUGUACUACAGUUGCUGCAUAUGGAUCUCUUCAGACCAACCAGAACACAGAGUAUUGGAGGUAAGAAAUAUUGCCUAGUAAUUGUGGACGAUUACUCUCGUUUUACUUGGGUAUAUUUCCUUGCAAGUAAGUUCGAAACCUUCUUGUAUUUUGAAAAAUUUGCUAAAAAGGUUCAAAAUGAAAAAUGAUGUGUCAUCUCAAGUAUAAGAACAGAUCAUGGAGGUGAAUUUGAAAAUCAAGAUUUUAUAAAAUUUUGUGAUGAAUCUGGAUUUAAUCAUGUGUUCUCCUCUCCAUAUACUCCUCAGCAAAAUGGAGUUGUGGAAAGAAAGAAUAGAUCUCUUCAAGAAAUGGCUAGAACUCUUUUAAUUGAAAGCAAGAUUUCUUCACGAUUUUGGGCUGAAGCUGUUUCAACAGCAUGCUAUAUAAUCAAUAGAGUCUUCUUAAGACCUAUUCUAGAGGAAACCCCUUAUGAGUUAUUCAAAGAUAAGAAGCCUAUUGUUCCAUACUUUCAUGUAUUCGGUUGCAAAUGUUUUAUAUUGAAAAAUGCAAAAGAUCGAGUUGGUAAGUUUGAAGAAAGAUCGGAUGAAGGUAUCUUCCUUGGAUAUUCUACAUCAAGCAAAGCCUUCAGAGUCUAUAACAAGAAGAGCCAGUCUGUAGAGGAGUCAAUGAAUGUCAAAUUUCAAGACUCAACACAAGAUGAAUCAAGUCAGACUCAUCAAGAAGAGUCUGAACCUGCUCCAGACCUUCCAAAGCUUACAACUCAAGAAGCAUCUCAGACUUUGGAAAACCAGUAUCAGGAUGUUCGUGAAGAUCCAAACAAAGAGAGAGAUCAUCAUCCAGACAAAUCAACAAGUAACCGGAAGCAUAAGUCCAGUCAUCCCAAAGAUCUUAUAAUCGGCGAAAUUAAUGAAGGAAUUCGCAUCAGAUCCAAAAGGCGAGAAGAGUCUAGUGCUGUGGCUCUCGUUUCUGAAAUUGAACCAAAGAGCAUAGAAGAAGCUUUAUUUGAUGAAAGCUGGAUUGAAGCUAUGCAAGAAGAGCUCAGAUAGUUCAACAUUAAUGAUGUCUGGGAAUUGACAUCCAAACCAAAAGGUAAAACUGUUAUUGGAGCUAAAUGGGUGUUCAGAAACAAGAUGAAUGAGAAAGGAAAAGUCGUACGAAACAAAGCAAGACUCGUAGCCAAGGGAUAUACGCAAGAAGAAGGAAUAGACUAUGAUGAGACUUACGCUCCAGUAGCAAGGUUAGAAGCUAUUCGACUAUUACUUGCGUUUGCUUGUUAUAAGAAUUUCAGGUUAUUCCAAAUGGACGUCAAAAGCGUCUUCCUAAAUGGAUUUAUCCAUGAGGAAGUUUAUGUGGAACAACCACCAGGGUUUGAAGACCCAAAGAAGCCAGACUCAGUCUUCAGACUGAAAAAGGCUUUGUAUGGUUUAAAGCAAGCACCUCGAGCUUGGUACGACAGAUUGAGUAAGUUUUUAAUACAAAAUGGUUUUGUUAAAGGUAAAGUAGAUACGACUUUAUUUAUCAAAAAGGAAAACAAAAGUUUCUUACUUGUUCAAAUAUAUGUGGAUGACAUUAUUUUCGGAUCCUCUAAUAAAAAUCUGUGCAAGAAAUUUUCUAAGUCUAUGCAGGAUGAGUUUGAAAUGAGUAUGAUGAGAGAGUUAACAUUCUUUCUUGGUCUUCAAGUAAAACAAUUGAAGGAAGGAACUUUUAUUUAUCAAGAAAAAUAUGUUAAUGAUCUUGUCAAAAGAUUUGGACUGGAAAAGUGCAAAAAGACCGACAUACCAAUGUCAAGUUCUUUGAAGAUAGACAAAGAUGAAGAAGGGAAGAAAGUUGAUCAAAAGCUGUACAGGAGCAUCAUUGGUUCACUCCUUUAUCUUACUGCUUCUAGACCUGACAUCUUGUUGAGUGUUUGCAUCUGUGCUAGGUUUCAAUCAGAUCCUAGAGAAUCCCAUCUCAGUGCUGCGAAACGCAUCAUUAAAUACGUUGCUUCAUCAUCAAGCAUCGGUCUUUGGUAUCCUAAGAAGGGAGACUUUAAUCUUCUGGGGUAUUCAGACGCAGAUCUGGCCGAUUGCAGAGUUGAUAGAAAGAGCACUUCGGGAACUUGCCAGUUGCUUGGAAGCAGGACAGUGUCUUGGUUUUCAAGAAAACAAAGCACUGUGUCUCUUUCAACAACAGAAGCAGAGUAUGUAGCCCUGGGAAGCUGCUGUUCGCAAAUUCUAUGGAUAAAACAACAGCUGAGAGACUUUGAAAUUGAAGACUCAUGCACGGAGAUUAAUUGCGACAACACCAGUGCUAUCAACCUCACCAAAAAUCCAAUUCUCCACUCAAGAGCAAAGCAUAUAGAAAUUCGACAUCACUUUAUUAAAGAUCAUGUUCAAAAUGGAGAUGUUUCAAUUCAAUUUGUUGACUCAAAGAAUCAACUGGCGGAUAUAUUCACAAAGCCUUUGGAGAAAAAUCAAUUUGAGUCUAUUCGUUCCAGACUCAACAUUCUGAGGUAUGAGGAUAUCAAAGUCUAAAGACCUUCAGACUCAGUCUUACAAGACUUUAUUUGAAAGAUAGUCUUGGUACGACCGUCAGACUGUAAGUCUUUCUCUCUUGAAUCUCAUCUUGAAAAGGUACGAUUGUCAGACUGUGUUUAAAUUAUUGCUAUAUUUAAUUGACGUAAAUAUUGCAUCGUUUCAUUUUCAAAAAGGAAGUUAUUUUUGAAAUGGCUAUUUUUGCGGAAAAAGACAGUUAUUUUGAAAAGGCAUUCUUUUAUUUCCUUUGUGACGGUUCGUUUAUCCCUCUUUUUAACCGAUCGUGCACUGUCCAUUCCUUUUCACUUUUCUCUCAAAAACCCUAGAAAGCAUCGACCCUCCAUUCCCGUUUGUCUUCUUCGUUUAAUCCUCAAAAAGUUGUCAUCUUUCCUGGGAAAGUCAAGCAAGGAAUCUUCCAAAAACUGAGAAAGAUGUCAUCUUCAAGAAAGUCUUCGAGAAUUGCAAGCAGGGGACCACGGUGAAUGAGUGAGGGGCCUACGCACUUCGAUCUUACUGAAGAUGAAGUGACUCCAGAACAGCAAGCGAGCCCACAACAUUCUCAACAGCGCCAUUCUCCUCCAUCUAGUCCUCAAGGCGUUGAUCAUCAACAACAGGAAGAAAUCAUCGAGGAUGCAGACCCUGUAAGAGUUCAAAAGCCCGCUUAUAUUUACCAGUUAUAUCGUGCCCUAAAAGGAAUUUGUACUCCUUUGAACUACAUUGAUGAUUUUCUUAAAGACAAAGGACAUGGGAACGAAUAUAUCUUUCUGCGAAAAAUGGAAAGUUUGGGAAUCGCUCGAAAAGGGGUGGCUGAGGAAACCCUUGCAAAUAUCCCAAGUGAUCCUCGUGACUGGGGGCCGAAUCCUGUAGAUGGGAAUGAUGAUGAUAAAUUAUACAGUCAAUUUCAACCGAAAAUGGGUGUUGCGGUUGAAAAUCAAGGAAAAAUGGGAGAUUUGUUCAGAUCAAAUGAGCAAAAGGAUCUGUACUCGAAAUUGCUGAAGCGUGGGGUAAUAAACCCUAGGAGUGUGGAUUUUGAUUUUCUGGAUGCUGUGAAUGUGAACUUGAGGGAAAAGUUCAGUUAUCUUCAACUUGAAAAGUUCUGCUCUGACUCUACAGAGGCCUAUGCUGAAUUAACUGCAUAUUUCUAUUCAAAUCUAAGCUUUUUGGAUACGAAUAGAUUCUCUUUCAGCGUUAAAGACCAAGACUAUGUUGUGGAUAUGAAUAUGCUGGCAGAUGUGUUAGAAGUCGAAAGAGGAAGAUAUCAACCAAUCAAAGUUUCCAUUGCUCGGGCCACACUUGAACUGGUGAAGGACAGGAGAACAGAUGAAAAGAUCACCUACUUAAGGAUGGGUGCAUUCAACAUCUUGCUUCACAAGAUUGUGAUUAAUUGCCUCCGACCGAAAUCAACUUCCAAGACUGAUGUUUCAAGUUCAGAGGCCAAGCUGAUGUAUGCCAUUCUCUUUGGAAAAAGGUUUUCUCUCCCUCGCACUGUGAUGUUUCACAUGUAUAGAGCAAUGAUGAAGGACAGAGGUCAACUCCCUUACCCAAGUCUUGUUACGAAGUUAUUUAGACAUCUGAAUAUUCAGCCUCCACAAAUAUUUUGUGUUCGACCAUGCGAUCAUAUGGUGGUAGGACUGAAAAUGGUGACCAAAAUGCGUCUAAAGGAACUGAGCAAGGAGUUGGAGAAAUUCAAGGAGAAGACUCCUACAAAAUCUCAUCAAAUCUCUUCUGCAGCUAAAAGAAAAGGGAAGGAGCCCAUGGUUGCUCCAUCUAAGAGAAGAAGAGCUCUCCUCGUUGAGGAUGAAGAUGAUGAGGAAGACAUCACCAUCUCUGCAUUGUCUUUGAAGAAUUUAAGUCGUCCUGUUCCACAGAAAGAAUCGGAACAAAUGACGAAAGAAGCAGAGGAGAAGGAAGAAGAAGAAAUAGAAGCUGAAAAAGAAACAGAGGAGGAAAGACCUGAAGAAGAAAGAAGAGAAGAAGGAGAACCUGAAGAACACUCUUCUCCACUUGUAGGCAUGGAAACAGGGGGAGAUCAGGAGAAAGGAGUAAAGUCUUCAUAUCCUGAUGCAAGUGAAGGAGUCAGUCGCUCACCAGCAGACCCAGAGGAUGUUUAUGCAUCUCAGUUUCCAGAGGAAGGUCAUGAAGUUUCAUCGCCAAACCUGCGAGAUUAUGCUGAUCUACCAUCGUUUGCAUUUACUCCAUCAGAUCGAGCCGAAGCAAGUACUCAGACUGAUAAUGGAGCAGAUUUUCGCAGAAUCAUGGAUAUUCUCUUGGAGAUGCGAGGUCAAAUUUAUGCCUUGGGAUGCGAAGUUCAAAGCUUGAAGAAUGAAGGUCAAGCUUCUUCCUGUUCAUUGAAUGAUAAAAUGCAAGCCCUCUCUGUUCAGAAUCAGGCCAAUGCCAAGAGUGAGGAGAUUGCACAUCUAAAGGAAGACUUUAAAAGACUGGAAGGCAUCGUUCAGUCUAUGGAAGAUUUCCAGCUUGUCCGCGUUCCCAAGCAAUCUUAACUUCAUCUCAUCCUUUUUAAUGAUGACAAAAAGGGGGAGAGAUGCAAGAUUUGAACAAAAACUUUUCAUUCAUUAAACUUUUAAUCGUUUGUUGGAUUGUUUUGUGGUUUGAACUCUGUUUGACUUUGCUUUGUGUCUGGAUGAGAACUGAACUUGGACUUGACUGCCUUUAUUAACUAAUAUUGAUAUCUUAUGGAUGGCUUCAUCAUAUACUGGACUAACCUACUUUCUGUGGUUGCAGAUUCUAGUGUUAUUCUGUUAGCCAUUUAUCUCUAUAAGAUAUGCAUAUGUGUUUGAGAAAUGUUUUACAGGUCAAAGAUAUCCAAAUCUGCAGGAAAGUUUUGUCACCAUAAAAAAUGGGGAGAUUGUUGGAGAAAUCUUCUUGAAGUGUUUUGAAGUUGAGAAAACGUUUCUAUCAGUCUAGUCUGAAGGCUUGUAGACUCUGCUGUUUAAAGUCUGAAGACCUCCGGACAGCCAGACUCAAGACUCAAAGUCUAUCCUCAUUGACAGUCUCUACUCCGUUGAAGAAAGGUUAUCCAUAACUGGAUGUUUUGUUAAAGAUUUAACUUUAUCAACUGGAGAAGAUCUCGUGGCUGGAGAAGACAUAACGGAGUCCUUUGAUUGAUCGAAGAUUGACUCGAUAAUUGAAGAUCCGGUGAUUGCCUAAAUAUUAUUGGAAGGUUCUGCUUAUGGAAACCGAGAUCCUGAUUGUAUGGGCGAACAGGAUUGAUGGGCUAUCAACACGUUCCUUUAAUAGCUUGAACAAUCUUCCUAAUUGAUUCUGUCCAACGGGUAGAUUGAAGGAAUUCCUUUGGUAAGUGCCAACGGGUAUGAUGGCAUAAAGGAGUAUAUAAGGAAGACGGUCUUAGUUGUUCAAGGGGUGCGCGAUAGAAGAAUUCCAAAGUCUGAAGCUCCUUUUUGUUUAGACAAAUCCUUUGAGCGAAUACUUGUAUACAAAAGAGAGUCUAUAUUUGUUAGAAAUCUUGAGGAGGUGUGGUAGAACAUCUACACUGUGGAAUCAAGGCAAAGCUGUGCUGUAACUUCUCUUUUGUUCAUAGUGGAAUCCAGCCAAUAGGCUGUCAGUGAAGAAGAGUGGACGUAGGCUUGAUAUAAGCCGAACCACUAUAAACCGCGUGUUCAAUUUUCUCUUCUCUCAGUCUUACUUUGAUUAACGUCUCCUUUUACUGUCUAGUAUUGUGCAAUUGUUGAAGAAAAAUCUUUUAUAUACUUAUUCACCCCCCUCUAAGUACUCAUACUAGCAAUAUCAACUGUAAAGAUUUGAAACCUCACAAUAAGCAAUGUUUCCCUAGUGGAAGGACUCAACUACAAUCUGCUCAGUAUCAAUGAGCUGUGUGACACUAGUUUCAAAAUAAAUUUUCAAGAGGGAAUAUGUUCAGAAACCAGUAAAGACUCUACUCAGUCAUUCAUGGACCGAAGACAUGGAAAUAUCUACCUCUUGGAUGUGAAACCAGAUGAAUCGCAAUGUCUAAUCUCAAUUCAAGAUGAAGCAAGCUUAUGGCACAAAAAGCUUGGGCACAUCAAUAUGAAGCAGAUAGCCAAAAUUUCAGCAAAGAAGCUUGUUCGUGGUUUACCCAAAUUAUCAUACCAAAAGACUGAUCUAUGUACACCAUGCGUAUUAGGAAAGCAGGUAAGAAAUUCCUUUAAACCAAUAAAUCAAGUUUCCACUAAUCAUGUACUGCAGCUUCUGCAUAUGGACCUUUUUGGACCUACCAGAACUCAGAGUAUUGGAGGUAAGAAAUAUUGCCUAGUAAUUGUGGAUGAUUACUCACGAUUUACUUGGGUAUAUUUCCUGGCAAGUAAGUCUGAAACUUUCUCUUACUUUGAAAAGUUUGCAAAAAAGGUUCAAAAUGAAAAAGGGUAUGUUAUCUCGAGUAUAAGAACAGAUCAUGGAGGUGAAUUUGAAAAUCAUGAUUUUACAAAAUUCUGUGAUGAAUCUGGUUUUCAGCAUAUGUUCUCAUCUCCAUAUACUCCAGAGCAAAUUGGAGUUGUGGAAAGAAAGAAUAGAUCACUUCAAGAAAUGGCUAGAACUCUUUUAAUUGAAAGUAACAUCUCUUCACGUUUUUGGGCUGAAGCAGUUUCAACAGCAUGUUACAUUAUAAAUAGAGUUUUUCUAAGGCCUAUUUUGGAAAAAACCCCCUAUGAGUUAUUCAAAAGAAAGAAGCCUAUUGUUUCAUAUUUUCAUGUGUUCGGAUGCAAAUACUUUAUAUUGAAAAAUGCAAAUGAUAGAGUUGGUAAGUUUGAAGAAAAAUCAGAUGAAGGAAUCUUCCUUGGAUAUUCUACCUCAAGCAAAGCUUACAGAGUCUAUAACAAGAAGAGUCGAUCUGUGGAGGAAUCAAUGAAUGUCAAAUUCCAGGAUUCUAUGCAAAAUGAAUCUACUCAGACUCAUAUUGAAGAAUCUGAACCUGCUCCAAACUUUACAAAGUCUAAAUCUCAAUAAGCAACUCAGACUCUGAAAGACCAGCAUCAAAUGGUUAUUGAAGAUUCAAAUGAAGGAAGUGAUCAUCAACUUGACAAAUCAACCAGUAACUGGAAGCAUAAGUCCAGUCAUCCCAAAGACCUCAUAAUUGGCGACAUUAAUGAAGGAAUUCGCACAAGAUCCAAAAGGCGCGAAGAGUCUAGUGCUGUGGCUCUUAUUUCUGAAAUAGAACUAAAAAGUAUAGAAUAAGCUUUAUCUUAUGAAACCUGGAUUGAAGCUAUGCAAGAAAAACUUAGACAAUUCAGUAUUAAUGAUGUCUGGGAGUUAACUCCUAAACCAAAAGAUAAAUCUAUUAUUGGAGCUAAAUGGGUUUUUAGGAACGAGAUGAACGAAAAAGGUAAAAUCGUAAGAAACAAAGCAAGAGUCGUGGCCAAGGGAUAUACGCAAGAAGAAGGGAUAGACUAUGAUGAAACUUACGCACCAGUAGCAAGGUUAGAAGCAAUUCGAUUAUUACUUGCUUUUGCUUGUUAUAAGAAUUUCAGGUUAUUCCAAAUGGACGUCAAAAGUGCUUUCCUGAAUAGAUUUAUCCAUGAGGAAGUUUAUGUGGAACAACCACCUGGGUUUGAAGACCCAAGGAAGCCAGACUCAGUAUUCAGACUGAAAAAAGCCUUGUAUGGAUUAAAGCAAGCACCUCGAGCUUGGUACGACAGGCUAAGUAAGUUUUUAAUUCAAAAUGGCUUUGAAAAAGGUAAAGUAGACACUACUCUGUUUAUCAAAAGAGAAAGCAAAAAUUUUCUGCUUGUUCAAAUAUAUGUUGAUGAUAUCAUUUUUGGAUCCUCAAAUGAAAGUUUGUGCAAGAAAUUCUCUAAGUCUAUGCAGGAUGAAUUUGAAAUGAGCAUGAUGGGUGAACUAACCUUCUUUCUUGGACUUCAAGUGAAACAAUUGAAGGAAGGGACUUGUAUUCAUCAAGAAAAAUAUGCUAAUGAUCUUGUCAAAAAGUUUGGACUGGCAAAUUGCAAAAAGACUGAUAUACCAAUGUCAAGUUCCUUGAAGAUAGACAAAGAUGAAGGAGGAAAGAAAGUUGACCAUAAGCUAUACAGGAGUAUCAUUGAUUCACUUCUUUAUCUUACUGCUUCUAGACCUGACAUUUUGUUUAGUGUUUGCAUUUGUGCCAGAUUUCAAGCAGACCCUAAAGAAUCUCAUCUAAGUGCUGCAAAGCGUAUUAUCAAAUACAUUGCUUCAACUUCAAGCAUCGGCCUUUGGUAUCCUAAAAAGGGAGACUUUACUCUCCUUGGAUAUUCAGAUGCAGAUCUAGUCGGUUGCAGAGUUGAUAGAAAGAGCACCUCGGGUACCUGUCAAUUACUUGGAAGCAGGACAGUGUUUUGGUUUUCAAGGAAGCAAAAUACAGUAGCUCUUUCUACAGCAGAAGCAGAAUAUGUAGCUCUCGGAAGUUGUUGUUCACAAAUUCUGUGGAUAAAAUAACAAUUAAGAGAUUUUGGAAUUGAAGAUUCAUGCACUGAGAUCAACUGUGACAACACUAGUGCAAUUAAUCUUACCAAAAAUCCAAUUCUUCACUCAAGAGCAAAGCAUAUAGAGAUUCGACAUCACUUCAUUAGAGAUCAUGUUCAAAAUGGAGAAGUUUCGAUUCAGUUUGUUGACUCAAAGAACCAACUGGCGGAUAUAUUUACGAAGCCUUUGGAGAAAAAUCAUUUUGAAAUCAUCCGUUCCAGACUCAACAUCUUGAAGCUUAAAGAAGUUAAAGUCUAGAGACUCUCAGUUUUAGACAACCAUGGUUCUUGACUGUAAGUUAUUUUAUUUUCUCUUAUAUUAAAUCUCGAAAAGGUACGAUCAUAAUUGAUUUAUGCUAUCUUCAAUUUCCGUGAAAGUGCAAUUUUUUUUUCCUUUUCAAAAGAGUUAAUGGCAGUUAUCUAUUUUUUUUUAAAAAAGGCAGUUAUUUUUUAAAAAUGUAUCUUUUAACCUUCCUUUACGACGUUUGGCAUUCCCCCGUUUCAACUAAGCUAUAUUUAGUCGGUUCCUCUUCACUUAACUCCAAAACCCUAAAAAGCAUCGAUCUUCCAUUCCUGUCUUUCUCCUUUGUUUAAUCUUCAAAAAGUUGUCAUCUUUCUUGGGAAAGUCAAGCAAUGAAUCUUUCAAAGACUGAGAAAGAUGUCAUCUUCAAAAAAGUCUUCGAGGAUUGCAAGCAGGGGACCACGACGAAUGAGUAAGAGGCCUACUCACUUUUAUCUCACUGAGGAAGAUGAGUCACCAAGUCAGCAGUAGAGCCCACAACAUUCUCAGCAGCGUCAUUCUCCACCAUCUAGUCCACAGAAUGCUGUUCAUCAACAAGAGGAAGAAAUCGUAGAAAAUGCAGAUCCUGUAAGAGUUCAAAAACCCUCUUUUAUUUAUAAGCUUUACCGUGCUUUAAAGAGCAUUGGUACUCCAUUGAACUACAUCGAUGAGUUUCUUAAGGACAAGGGAUAUGGGAAUGAGUACAUCUUUUUGCGAAAAUUGGAGAGUUUGGAAAUUGCUCCUAAGGGGUUGGCAGAAAAAACCCUUGCAAAUAUCCCAAGUGAUCCGCGUGUUGGAGGAUUUAAUCCGAUAGAUGGAAAUGAUGAUGACAGAUUAUACAAAGAAUUUCAACCGAGAAUGGGUGUUGCGGCGAAAAUUCGAGGAAAAAGAACAUAAUUGUUUAGAUCGAAGGAACAUAAUGAUCUAUACUCCAAUUUGUUGAAACGUGGGGUGAUAAAUCCUAGGAGUGUAGAUUUUGAUUUCCUUGAUGCUGUGAAUGUCAAUUUGAGGAAAAAGUUUAGUUUUCUUCAACUUGAACAGUUCUGUUCCGACACCACAGAAGCCUAUGCUCAAUUAACUGCAUAUUUCUAUUCAAAUCUUAGUUUCUUGGAUGUGAAUAGAAUCUCCUUCAGUGUCCGAGAUCAGGACCUUGUAGUGGAUGUGGAUAUGUUGGCAGAUGUUAGUGGGGUUGAGAGAGGGAGAUAUCAACCCAUCAGUGUCUCUAUAGCUCGUGCCACAUUGGAACUUGUUAAAGACAGAAUGACAGAGGGAAGGAUUUCGUACUCAAGGAUGUGUGCAUUCAACAUUCUGCUUCACAAAAUUGUGAUAAAUUGCCUCAGACCGAAAUCAACUUCUAAGACUGAUGUUUCUAACUCAGAGGCAAAGCUGAUGUACGCCAUCAAUGCUGGAAAAAAGUUUUCUCUUCCUCACACUAUUCUGUUUCACAUGUAUAGAGCAGUCAUGAAGGACAAGGGCCAACUUCCUUAUCCAGGUCUUGUGUCAAAGAUAUUCAGACAUUUGAAUAUUCAGCCUCCACAAAUUCUCUGUGUUCGACCAUGUGACAAAAUGGUGGUAGGACUAAAAAUGAUGUCCAAAACGCGUCUAAAAGAACUCAACAAGGCGUUGGAGAAAUUUAAGGAGAAAACCCCUGUCAAAUCUCUUCUGCAGCGAAAAGAAAAGGGAAGGAGCCCAUGGUUACUCCAUCCAAAAAGAGAAAAGCUCUCAUUACUGAUGAAGAUGAUGAGGAUGACCUCACAAUUUCUGCUAUAGCAUUAAAGAAGUUGAGUCGUUCUGUUCCUAAAUCAAUAGAACGACAGGAGAAAGAAGCAGAGAAGAGAAAAGAACAGGAGAAAGAAGAAGAUACAGAAGCAGAGGAGAGAGAAGCAGAGGAGAAGGAAGAAAAGGAGAAAGAAGCUGAAGAAAAAGAAACAGACGAGGAAAGGUUGGAAGAAGAAGAAGAAAUAGAAAAUCAAAAGGAAGGAGAGCAUGAGGAAAACUCUUCUCCACCUGAAGCCAUGGAAACAGGGGGAGAUGGUGAAAAUAGAGGAAUGUCCUCAUAUCCUGUUACCAGUGAAGGAGUCAGUUGCUCUCCAGCAGAUCCAGAAGACAUUCAUGCCUCUCAAUUUCCUGAGGAGGGACAUGGUGCUUCAUCACCAAAUCUGCGUGAUUAUGCUGAUAUACCAUCGUCUGCCUUUACUCCAUUAGAUCGUGCCGAAGCCAAUACGCAGACUGAUAACUCAGCAGAUUUUCGCAGAAUCAUUGAUGUUCUUUUGGAAUUUCGGGGUCAGAUAUAUGCUUUGGAAAGCGAAGUACAGAACUUGAAGAAUGCAAGACAAGUUUCUUCCGUUUCAUUGUCUAAACAGAUCCAAGCCCUUGCUCUUCAGAUUCAAGCCAAUGCUAAAGGUGAAGAGGUGGAUCAUCUAAAGGAAGAAUUGAAAAAGCUGGAAGGCAUCAUCCAAUCCAUGGGAGAUUUCCAGCUUGUUCACAUUCCCAAGCAAACUUGACUCCACUAUUCCCAUCUCAACUUCUUUUUAUGAUGAUGACAAAAAGGGGGAGAGAUACGAGAUUUGAAAUCUUUGAACUCAAAGUUUAACAAUUUUUAGUUUGUUUUGAUGUGUGACUUGUGUGUCUAUGUCUGGAUAAGGAUUGACUGAACGUGGAUUUGGAUUUGAUUGUUGUUUAUAUUAAGUACUAUUGAUAUCUUAUGAAUGGCUUGCUUUACUCUCAUGAAAGACUAACCUAUUUUCUGUGGUUGCAGAUUCUAGUGUUAUCAUUAAGCUAUUAAUCUUUAUGAGAUAUCCAUAUUUGCUUGAGUAAUGUUUUGCAAGUCAAAGUUAUUCAAAUCUGCAGGAAAGUUUUGUCACCAUAAAAAAAUGGGGAGAUUGUUGGAGAAAUCUUUCUGGAAUAUUUUGAAGCUGACGAAACGUUUUUAUCAGUCUAGUCUGAAGUUUUGCAGACUCUUCUAUUAAAGUCUGAAGACCUCCGGACUACCAGACUCAAGACUCAAAGUCUAUUCUCAUUGACAGUUUCUAAUCCAUAGAAGAAAGGCUAUCCAGAACUACUUCAUUAAGGAUUUAGCCUUAUCGACUGGAGAAGAUCUCUUGGCUGGAUAUGACAUAACGGAUUCCUUUAUUCAAAUCAAGAAUGAUUAAAGAUCCGAUGAUUGGCGAAGUAUUCUUGGAAGGUUCUACUUAUGGAAACCAAGAUCCUGAUUGUAUGGGCGAGCAGGAUUGAUGGGCUAUCGACAUGUUCCUUUAAUAGCUCGAAUAAUCUUCCUAAUUGAUUCUAUCCAACAGGAGGAUUGGAAGAAUUCAUUUGGUAAGUGCCAAUGGGUAUGAUGGCACAAAGGAGUAUAAAAGGAAGACGUUACAGGUGUUCGAGGUAUGCACGAUAGAAGAAUUCCAAAGUUUGAAGCUCUUUGAUUCUUAGUCAAUUCAUUUACUGAGCGAAAUCUUGUACGCAAAAGAGAGUCUAUACUUUGAGAUACCUUGAGGAAGUGUGAUAGAAUAUCUACAUUGUGGAAUCAAGGGAAAGCAAUGCUGUAACAUCUCUUUUGUUCAUAGUGAAAUCCAGCUAGUGGGCUGUCAGUGCAGAAGAGUGGACGUAGGCUUGGAAUAAGCCGAACCACUAUAAACCUUGUGUUUAAUUUUCUCUUCCUUACUCUCCGCUUUACUUUGAUCAUAGUUCGAUUUGUUAACUAAAUGAGAGCUUCCUUUCUGUUGUUAGUCCAGUAUUGCUUUCAUAUCUCGAGAAAUUAUUUUUACACCUAUUCACUCCCCUCUAGGUGCUUAUACUAGCUAUAUCAGAUACUAGCGCGUCCUGAUUUACCAGGCAACUUUUAGAAAUUUUCAUGCAUUUGACUUGUGGUUGAUCAAUUCAAGCCACAAUGUACAUCUUUGACACAUUGGUGACUUUCGAUUGUCGAGGUAAUCUCAAGGUUUCAAAUAUGGACACAAGGUACCCAAUAGACAGAAAAGUCAGUCCAGUGCCAAUCGACAAAAUUGUGCGAUCCGGUGGAAUCACCCAUACUCAAUCACAUGCCUCUGUCGAGUCGACCUAUCUCCGGUCUCUAAUCGAUUUUUAUUUGUGCCAUAAUAACCCUUGCAAAUUAGGUCGGUCGAAAGGUCGCUUCCUGUUCAAAUUCUCGAGUCUGAUGCAUUAGAAUCUCUUAACAGCUUCACCUGAUAGACUAGUUUUCACAUGAGUGGCCGACUCAAGGAAAUGAAUUAUAUGCGUGCCAACGAAAUGCCCAUCUCAAUUUAUUGAAAAUAGAAUUGAAAAAUCGGGAUGUCACAACUCUUCCCCUCUUAUAAAAAUUUCGUCCUCGAAAUUUAAACCUUUACCAAUUCUUAAACAAAAAGGUGGGGGUAUAGUCGUCUCAUCAAAUCUUCUUUUUCCUAGGUUGCUCCUUCAGUGCCAAUGCUGCCAGAUCAUUGUAUGUGACAUUCCAAUUUUUCUCAAUUUUAUUUUCAGUCAAUUGAGUUGGACGAUUCAUCUAUGCAUGUAGUUCGUCUCUUAGAGUUGACCGCUCACGAGGGAACUAAUCUAUUGAGUAAAGCAAUUAAGGAAUUUUACUACGUCAGACUUGGGGACUGAUCACCCUCUGGUCGGAUGCAAGAAAAUUUCCCCAAAAGCUACUCAGUGGAUUAGGCACGUUGAAAUCACACCAGAUUGAAUUUAACCAUGAAAAUUGGGAUUGAAUUUAGAAAUUGGAAGCCGGUUAUGUCACAUACCUUAUUAGGAUCAUGGGAUAAUUUGGUAGACUUUAAUUGGACUCAAUUAUGAGAGAAUUGAAUGAAAAAUUGAAGAAAUUAGAUGUACAAGAAUUAGACCCCGGCGGAAAAUGAAAGUGCAACCAUUGAAAAAGUUGUGGGGGAUUUGAGUGAGUGGAAGAUGACAUGGGAUGAUGUGAUGGUGGUUGAGGCCAAGGGUUGAGGGCUUGACAAGUGGAGGUUGGAGAUUGAAUCUCCAAAAAGGCCCCAUCACCAUCAUCUUCAAGCUUGGGAGGAGAGAGAGAGAGGCGGAAAGAGAGAGAACCGGCCAGCCCCCGACCGUCGACCAGCCGUGCGUCGCUCCCCCGCCGUUCGCCGUCAUUGUGCCGCGCUGCCAUCGCUGCCUCGCGCGACCGCACGAAGCCCCACGCGCGAGCGCGCUCCUCGCCCCUCUACUCCGCUCCGCUUCUCUUCGCCCGCGCCAGCCGUCACCACCGUCGUUCCGAGCUGCCAUCCGUCACCGGAGACCCCGCCAAGUUGCCGUGAGCCACCGCUAAGCUGCAGCCGCCCCUCUCCUCCGCCUUUUCUACCUCUAGCCGUCGCCGUUUCUCCCUUCUUCGACCUUAACGUGCAGCAAAAAAGAGUGGGUUUUGCAGUCCGGUUAAGGCCCGUUUUGGCCGUCUUCCCGACCCCGGAAGCUAGGCCCGCCUUUGGAAAAGUUGAUCCCGACGUCGCCCUCAUUGUUUUGGUCCAAGCGGUGAGUUAAUCAAGUGAGUUUACCUUACUAAACCUUGAUUAGAGUGUUAAUAAUGCCAUAAGUGUGUUUAGUUUAAAUUAAGUAAGUUUAGGUGGGUAGAUUAGUGUAUUUAAUUAUAAAUUGGGUUAAGAGGUUGAUUUAUGUCAAAGUGUGUUUAAUUAAGGUUAAAAGAAGUUAUUUAAUGUUAAGCCUUGAUGGGACAUAAUAGGAUUUUAGUUUUGAAUUAUUUAAUUGCUUCAAAAUUCUAGAAAGUAUAAUAUUAUAUUAUAAUCCGAAAUUAUUAAAAUAUUAUUAAAAAAACGAAAAAAAUUAUUUUUGAUUGCUCAGAAUUUCUUGCCGAUCGCUAUUGUGUAUUUAGAAUUUAAAAUUGAAGAGUGAUUAUGGCAAAUUGAGUGUGAUUGCGAUAAAUAGGAAUUCUUUAUAAAAUCCCAAUAGUCGAAAUUGAUGAGAGAUUGGCCGUGAUUGAUCACUUAUUAGAGGUUGUGCCCAAUGGGACCAUGAUGGACCGCCUAUGAGAGGUCGUGCCCAAUGGAGCCGUGAUGGACCGCCUAUGAGAGGUCGUGCCCAAUAGAGCCGUGAUUAACCACCUAUUAGAGGUCGUGCCCAUCGGGCCGAGAUCUACCACCUAAUUAAAGGUCGUGCCGAGUGGGGCCGUGAUUGCCACUAGUUGUUAAACCUUCCUAUAGGGUCGUGAUUGGAAGCAGUAAUUGAUUUGCUAGAAUGAGAUGUAAUCGGCCGAGUCGAUUGAUCGCUGAGAUGAUCUAAGUGAUUGAAUUGUUUUGAUAAUGUGAUUGUGCCACGGUUGUUUGGUUAUCAAAGUUGCUUGUGAUUGAAUUAUAUAAACUGUGCUAACCUGCAGAUGAAGGCUAAUGCGAGGUAAGUCUUCUUGAUGUCGUGGCUAGGCCACUCUAGGGCGUAUUUACUUUCUAAUAGGGGUUUAGGAGGGGUGAACUUGCUGAGACAAAGUCUCAUCCCGGUUUGGGGAAAAUAUUACAGGGCCGUAGAUGGUGGCACCCUCGGAGAAGAGUGGCAUGCCGAUGGAGGUUCACCAGACGACGCAGAGUGCUCCUGACCUUGGAAGUCCUUGGUAUAUCAGUUGGUUAGGUCUAUUGUCUGGGUCCAGGUGACCGUGGAUGUCAGAGUACCUUAUAUGUUUAGGGCUUGGUUUCAUUCUGGGGCCGAUGGCGUUAAGGUUGACCCAUUGGAUAGCAUGGACAUUCCGUUGAUUGUGAUGGACGCCAAUUUGGGUGAAGGCGUGGCGGAUCUUCCUAGCGGUGGAGUGAUCAACGCAUCACCUCCAGUCUCUUGGGUGUUAGAACCUGAGGAUGUGGGAUCGAUGAACGAGUCCAACUAGUAGUCAUAGGACUGUUCUCUCUUUUUGUGGACCGAUCCCUAGUGUGCAAACUGACCCUUUUUGAUGUACAUAGCCUCUGACCCAUUUUGGUUGUAUGUAAACCCUAAUUGACUAUACGAAAGUAUGUUGGUUUGUAUUUGAAUUGUUUUUCUUCCUGCUGUCCUAUCCCGUAAUUUAAUUAUCAGGGGUUUCUUAAUAUGUUCCGCAUGCGCAUAAUAAAAUAAAUGGGGUCGGCGACACUACCUAGGAAUGUCGCAUUUAUACGACCAUGGUGGAUUGUUCACGUGUCUCGGGGCUCAGGGCGUGACACUGUAUCUUGCCCAAACUACUUCGGAUCCAAAAUACUAAACACUUGCUCACUUAAAAUUCUAAAGGUCUUCAACACAAAAUCUGCGAAGCUAAACUGGCGAUUCUGAGCGGUCUCUAAACUGUCUCUGGUAAUUGCGACUGAAUCACUGAUUUCUGAACAAACUCUGGACUUGCGAUUUUCUGAUUUUGGAUCUCAUCUCAACCGAUUGAAAUCCUGUACACUCUGCUCUGCACUGAUUAAAAAGAAACUAUCUGACUGAUUUGCUAAAACUGGGAACCUCUGGUCAAGAUCUGAUAUAACUCUGACACUGAUCUUGGCCUGUGAUCUUUCUUUCCUUGACUUCAUCUCGGCAAUUGAAAUUCUGCACUCUCUGCUAUGCACUGCUUAAGAAAGAACCAUCUGAAAGCUCUGCAAACUUGGAACAUCUGAUCUAGAUUUGAAAUACAAUUCAUCCCCGGCACUCCAUGUAGAUGAUUUAUAUGAUAUACACACACUUUGGUAUACCUAUUCUAAUCGAGAUCUUUUCGUGCUGCACUAAAGUGAGUUGACUUUGAUCAUUUGUCGACCACAACCCCAUAAGGAAUCAAUACUCUUCCCGACUCCUUAAUAAGCUUGUUAUAACAUUCCAUUAUGCUAUACUUCCAUUCCCACACAAGACUCUCUCAAGUACUUGAAAAAGCUUUCCUGGCUUACAUUACCAAAUUCUCACUUACUGAUACAUCCAACACUUACAACUUGUUCGGCGAUAUCUAUCUUCAUACUGAUUUACCAAUUCCAAUGAUGUAGAUUCUAACUCAUCUUUGUACUGUUUGGACAACGCUGAAGUUGCUAUGAUGAGCUUCCCAUAAGAUCUUUUCUUUAAUCUUUGCAUCAUCAAUUACACACAAUCAUCCUCGGAACCUUAACAUCCUAUCUUCAGAAAUCUGAAAAUCAAUCUCUCUCUCUCAUCUGUAUUCUCUUAUAGAAUCUUAUGAAUUUCUGAAUCUGUCUAUUGAAGCGUUCUGAUUUUGAUAUGAACUUUCGGCUCAAUUCUGAGGGUGAUCAUAAAAUUCAAAAGGUGGCCUACCUUAGAUUUGAAAGCUGAAUUUCGAAUUUUCUCAAAUAAAGUCCAAUCCUUGAGUACCAACUGUGCAACUAAAGACUCUUGACUUAGUGCAUCUGUAACUUUGCUCACCUUUCCAGAGUGAUACGAAAUAUUAUAGUCAUAAUCCUUAAAGAGUUCCAUCCAGCGACGCUGUCUCAUUUUCAACUCCUUAUGAGAGAAUAUGUCAUUGAGACUUUGAUGGUCAAUGAAGAUAUGGAAUAUUUCUCUAUACCAAUAGUGCCUCUAAAUUUCCAAAACGAACAUAACUACUGCAAGUUCUAUAACGUGUGUCGGGUAAUUCAACUCACAAGAUCUCAACUGAUGGGACGCGUAUGCAAUAACCUUAUCAUGCUGCAUCAACAAGCAACCCAAUCUUUUAAACGAUGCAUCACUGUAGAUCUCAUAACUUCCAAGACCAGAUGGAAUAGUCAGCACGGGUGCGGUAGUCAGCUUUUGCUUAAGCUCUUGAAAACUACACUCGCACUUACCUGUCCACACGAACUUUUCUUCCUUCUUCAGAAUUCUUGUCAACGACGAUGCUAACAUUGAAAACCUUUCUACAAACCUCUGUAAUACCCUGCUAAACCCAAAAAACUUCUGAUCUCCAUCACUGCAGUCAAUCUCGGCCAACUGAUCACUGCCUCAAUCUUAGACGGGGUCUACGGAGAUUCAUUCUCCAGAAAUCACGUGACCUAAGAACGCAAUACGAGUCAUCCAAAACUCGCAUCUGCUAAGCUUAUUGUAAAAUCCAAAAGCACUCAAGGUCUGAAGUACCAUCGCCAAAUGUCUCUCGUGCUCCUUAGCACUCUUUGAACAUACUAGGAUAACUUCAAUGAACACGAUCACAACUGAUUCAAGUACCCUUAAACAUUCUACUUAUUAGACCUAAACAAAUAGCUAUGGUGUCCAUCAAACCAUACGGUAUUACAGUGAACUCAUAACUGCUGUAUCAAGUGUGAGAUGCUAACUUCGGUAUGUCUUUCUUCAUGAUCCUCAACUGAUGAUAACCUAACCUCAAGUCGAUCUUGAAGAAUAUCAAUGUACAAACGCAACUAACCAAUUUUCUUCUUCACUAAUAGAACGGGUGUUCCCCAAGGUGAUGCACUAGAACGUAUGAAUCUACUAUUCCACAAUUCCUGCAUCUGCACCUUCAUUUCUUUUAACUCGGGUAACACCAUCCGGUAAGGAGCCUUAGGGACUAGCUCUGAUUCGGGUGCUAAUUCAAUCACGCACUAUAUUUCUCUUUCUGAUAGCAAACCUAGCAAUUCUUCAAAAAAUACCUCAGAAAACUUCUGUACCAUGAUUAUGUUCUCCAUAUUCGGCUCCUCAACUGACGCAUCCAUCAUAGUUGCCAAGUAGAUUCGGUAACCAACAACUAGAACCAAGUCAUCUUCAGCGAUGAAUAACAAGGAUUGAAGUUCCUCUUCGACUUUCAGUGAUUCAAAACUUUUGCACAUUAAUGGAACAAGCUGAAUUACAUCACUGCCACAGUUCAAAACAACAUAAAACUCCUUAAGCCAAACCUUUUUAUAAAUGACUUCCAAGUCAUACUUAAGCAAACCCUUCAAGUACAACUAUAGUCAGAGAUUCAUCUUUCUAUCACUUUAUUACCACAACGAAGAUCCUACAACCUUCACUGAAAAUUCUGCUGCAUUACUCUAAUAAAAAUAUCUCAAAAACAUUCUUCUUCUGAUUGAUGCAUGGUCGAUCCCUUCAUGCUCCUCUAGCCAUCCUAGUGGUGUCCUAUCUACAGUAACAGUGCUUACACUUUCCUGAACUUACACGAACAGUUACUAACCUGACGGCCGUGCUAGCCAUAUUCAAAUCAUGCUCCCUUUUUACUCUGACACUAGGCUAACUCAAGCCUCCUUUCCACAAACUCGGCACACAAUCGGUGAGUCCUCUACCUCCCAGCAAGGAACAUCAUGCACCCUUCUUGGCACUGAGGCUCAUUCUAAGUACCCCACUAAAUGUCCUGAAGCAUGUUUCCUCUGUUCUGUCUUAUCAACGGCGGUGACAGAAAGAGUUGUGAUUCCAUCUGCCUAUACGGGCAAUCUUUGAUCAAAUGACCUUACUGGCGACACUUGUAACAAGUCCUUUCCCUCUUACAAUACGGAACUGAUCCGUGUCUUUUCUUACAGACACGACCUACAUCUAUCGAGUUGAACUAUGACUUUCCAAUUCUACUAUUCCAAUUGGGUGAAACAGGGCACUUUUCUUCUAACAUCGGCCUUUCUCCCCAAUCGAUUUCCAUCUCUGUCUAAACCGAACCUUGACUCAAAUACGGUGGCUUGAUCCUCGAUCACAACUUCAUAUUGGGCCUCAACAGGCGUGGCGAUAACAACAGUCACAACACUGGCAGUGGUAGAAACAACGGCAACAGCAACGGCUCGGUCCUGAGCUUACUAACCCAAAAUGCUUCCCAAAGACUCUAGCGCCUAAACAAUCCCGUCGAACCUAGGAUCAUUCGGUGCUGCUACACUCUCAGUACCGACUUGCAGUGGUACUCUCACACUUGCGCUGGUCUAAGCCUGCGCUCUACCUCGGGUACCAACUCUUGUCAGCGUCCUACCCCAAGAUAUAGGUCCUACUGACCUCCUUCAAGGAGUUCUCCACUCCCGGUCACUCAUCCUACAGGCUCUUUAUAGACGCCUGUUUUCCAAUUCCCACAUCAGGUUAGAAUUUGAGUGACCCCAUAAACACACUACCAAACAGCUAUCAACCACACGCAUAAGCAUAUUAAAAGCUUUUCCUACUAACUAUCCCAUGACUCAUCGCACCUUAUCACUUCAUACUCAAACCAUGCUCUGAGACCACUUAAACGGGGAUGUCACGCCUAGAACCUUGAGUGCGCCAACAUCUCAUCAUGGUCAUGCAAAUGCGACAUUCUCAGGUAGUGUCACUGACCCCAUUCAUUUAUUAUUGCACAAGUGGAACGUAUUAUAAAACUCCUAACAAUGAAAUACCUGAUAGAAAAGUAGGAAGCAAAACCACAGCAUAACACUUUUAUAAUUCAACAAAAUUACAAACAGAGGUCUACGACCAAAAGUCUACAAAAGACCGGCUCUUAAAAGGAAUUGUCUUACGACCUACAAGUCGGACACGCUCUCCAAUCCUUAUGACUUCACCUCUGCAACUCCUCAAGGCCAACCAAAGUUAUUUGCCCGCUCUGUCCACUAGGGACCUGAAAUUGUAAUCCCCCAACCGGGAUGAGACAAUGCCUCAGCAAGUUUAACCCCCUAAACCCCUAUUAGAAAGUAAAUAAGCCCCAGAUUGGCCUAGCCACAACAUCAAGAAGACUUACCUCGCAUUAGUCCUCAUCUGCAGGUUAGCACAAUUUAUAUAAUUCAACCACGUGCAAUUAUGAUAACCAAACAACUGUGGCACAAUCACAUUAUUAGAACAAUUCAACCACUUGGAUCGUCUUAGCGAUCGAUUGACUCGACCGAUUACAUGUCAUUCUACCGAAUCAAUCGUUGCUUCCAAUCACGACCCUAUAGGAAGGUUUAACAACCAGUGGCAAUCACAGCCCCACUUGGCACGACCUUUAAUUAGGUGGUAGAUCUCGGCCCAAUGGGCACGGCCUCUAAUAGGUGGUCAAUCACGACCCCACUGGACAUAACCUUUAAUAGGUGGUCAAUCACGGCCCUAUUGGGCACGACCUCUAAUAGGUGGUCAAUCACGGCCCUAUUGGGCACAACCUCUAAUCAUGGCUCUACUGGGCAUGACCUCUAAUAGGUGAUCAAUCACGGCUCCACUGGGCACAACCUUUAAUAGGUGGUCAAAUACGGUCAUUCUUCCAUCAAAUUUUUGACACUAGGGAUUUUAUAGAAAGAAUCUCUAUUUAUCACAAUCACACUCAAUUUGUCACAAUCAAUCAUCAAAUUCAAAUUCUAAAUACACAUCAGCAAUCGGCACGAAAUUCUGAGUAAUCGGGGUCAAAAAUAAUUUUUCAGUUUUUUAUAUAAAUAAUAUUAUUUUAAUAAUUUCGUAAUAUAAUAUAUUAUUAAAAAUUCAAGAAUUUCGAAACAUUUAAGUAAAUAAAAAAUAAAACCCUAUUAUGUCCCAUCAAGGUUUAUUAUUAAAUAAACUCAGCCUUUAAUUAAACAUGCUUUAAAUUAAACAAACAUCUUAAUCUAAAUCAUAAUUAAAUAAACUAAACUAACCACCUAAGCUUACUUAACUCGGACUAAGCACACUUAGGGCAUUAUUAACCGUCUAAUCAAGAUUUAGUGAGCUAAACUUACUCGAUUAAUGAACCAAGCGGACCAAAACGAUGGGGAUGCCGAGGGGAACAACUUUUCUCAAAGUGGGCCAAGCAUCCAGGGUUAGGAAGACUGCCAAAACGGGCCAAACGCCCACUGCCAUACCCAUUUUUCUUCUCAUUGAUGGCUGCUAAUUGGGGGCGGAUUCGGCGCCGGUUGAGGCAAGCAAGGGUCGAGAGGGGCUGAGGGAGUCCUAGCGGGCUAAGGCGGGGGUGCACGGCGGCUCAUGGCAGUGGAGACGAGCUCCGGCAAAUUUUGGAUCGCACGAACCGAGGCUGAGACGCAGCUGGGCGUCGGCCAAGCGCGGGUGAGUGUGGGCAGCGGCGAAGCGCGAGACGGCGAGCGGCGACGGGCGGACGCGUGUGGCUGCUCCGACGUCUUCUUAGGUCUGCUAGGACGUCGAGCAGCAGCUGGAGAUGGAGGAGAGAGGGAGGCGGUGGCGUGGGUCGUGGCGUGAGCGGACGACGAGCAGCUUGGCGGCGCAAACGGUGGCUUGAGGCGACGAUGGAUGCUCCGGGCAGCUUGCUGGCGACGUGUAGCUCUUCUCUAGUUCGCUGGUUUGUUGGGCUUUCGAAGAAGAAGAAGAUGAAGAUGGAGAGAGGAGGAAACGGUCGCACGGUAGGGAGAGGGAGGAGAGAGGCAACCGAAGAGAGAGAGGGAGGAGAGAGAAGGAAGAGGGGACGACUUUUCUCUCUCUCAUGGCCCACCAUGACCUCAUGGAUGAUGUCACACUCCACUAUCUCCCACAACCUUAUUCCAAUGGUUGCAAUUCCAUUUUCCACCGGGGCAUAAAAUCUUGUACAACAAAUUCUUUAAUUCCACUUGAUUCUCUUCCAAUUGAAUCAAAUUGAAGACCAUAAAAUUAAUCCGAUGUCACUACACUUCAAUUCACAUCUUUACUUGUCCAUAGAACCAACUUAAGUCCCAAAAGCACAACCAAGGGCGGGCCUACUAAUUUUCCGAACCAAAUUAACCAUAAUUUGAUUUAAUUGCUGAAAAAUUCUGAUUACAUGAAAAAUCUUCCGAAGAUGAGUCAAUGAUCCUAAAAUGAUUUGUGCCACACCAGGACUUCCAAUUUAUGAAUUCGAUCUCAAUUUCACGGUUAAUUUCACUUCGGCACGAUACUAGCGCGUCCUGAUUUACUAGGUAGCUUUUAGAAAUUUUCAUGCAUUUGACCUAUGGUUGAUCAAUUCAAGCCACAAUGUACAUCUUUGACACAUUUGCGACUUUCGGUUGUUGAGAUAAUCUCAAGGUUUCAAAUAUGGACAUAGGGUACCCAAUCAACAGAAAAGUCGGUCCAGUGUCGAUUGACAAAAUUGUGCGAUCCAGUGGAAUCACCCACACUCGAUCAUAUGCCUCUAUCGAGUCGACCUAUCUUCGAUCUCUAAUCGAUUUUUAUUUGUGCUGUAAUGACCCUUGUAGAUUAGCUCGGUCGAAAGGUCGCUUCCUGUUCAAAUUCUCGAGUCUGAUGCAUUAGAAUCUCUUAACGGCUUCACUUGAUAGACUAGUUUUCACAUGAGUGGCCGACUCAAGGAAAAGAACUAUAUGCGUGUCAACGAAAUGUCCGCCUCAAUUUAUUGAAAAUAGAAUUGGAAAAUUGGGAUGUCACACGUCAGCGGAGCAUGGUGCUUCUUCAGAUCUAUCAACAGGUUCGCCUUGUACGUCUCCGUCGGCUUUGUCCACCAUUAAAACACGCAUCAGCAACAAAAGCAGACUCAACGCAAACAAGGCAAGAUGAAAUCGCCACAGAAAAAAAACGUUGCACGUUACCCGAAAGCAAGUCCACCUCCACUCGGUGCCAUCACCCCUGGUGACCUUCGAAGGCUCCACGCCCCAGUAAAAUGUUGUGGAUGGUGGAAAUAGAGUGUGGAUUUCUGAAGAUGGUGUAGGUUGACUUAUGAUAUCUUGUCCUAGUCUUAUGAUUGUCAUUAUACAAAUAUAUGAAAAAAAAAAGCAAUAAAUUUUCAUUAUACAGUGAAAUUUAAAUUCCAAUCCCUUGGUCGUGAUUUAUUUAUUUGUGUCAAAAGGCACUAAUGAGUUGAGUCAAGAGGAUCUGCUUACCAAGUGAGGCAAUGCUAAAUUACUUAAUGUUUCUGCUCUUAGCUGGGGGAUCUGGUGCAAUCAAUUAGUAUCUCUGGAUUGAACCAAUCAACCAUUGAAUUAGUUUCUCCAUGUGCUUGGUGGCUGGCAAAUCAUUGCUAGAUAGGCAUAUGAAUUAGUUUGUUAAGUUGGGAUUUUGUAACUCUUUGGCAUGGUUGAUGAGCUCUAGUGGUGGCAAAUUUUAUUUAUUUAUUUUGGGGGGGGGGGGGGAUGUUGAAGUGGUGGCAAAAGUUUAAAAACUGAUGAAGCUGCUAUCUGUUAAGGCUGAUUUUAUUUGGUCUCAGGUUGUAGAGAAGUUUUCUGUUAAACUUAUUUGUUGGGGUUCCCCUACUUGUGUUAACUUGAUAAACCUAACCAAAUUGAUAGUAUUUGUUAAGGAAAUAAUUUUGUCAUCAACAGUAAGACUAUGAUCCCUCUUUCUCGCACCUAAUGAAAAUUGUCAUAGCUAAUGAAUUUUCUAUGUAAUUGCAGCUUGCAUUUUUCCUUUAUGUUUUUCUGUAAUGGAAAUAAUUUUCUAGCUUGAUGUUAGCAAUUAAAUGAAACUCACUACUUAGCUUCUUAGCUGUUAUUGCUUUAGAGCCAUAUCUCUUAAAUGAACUAAGUUCAUGGUUUGGUUUGACUUUAAACCUUAUUAAAUUGAUUUUGGUGAAAUUUCUAACUGAAAUUCGUUGUUUUUUGUUUUUAAUUUAAAGUAUACUCCAAACAGACCCACGAACCAUAAACAUCCUUGUUAACAGGAAAUGCGAUAUUCUAUUUUUUCUUUUUUUUAAGUACAGUUGAAACAAAUUGAUAUUAAUGCAGUUCAACUCUAUUUUUAGUGCCCGCUUUUUCUUGCUUACUCAUGAGUGUUUGCGUUUUGCUCUUUUAUCUGGAAUGGAAGACAUUGAAAGGACCAGAAGGAAAAAAAAAAGAAAAAAAAAAGAACCUGCUCGCAAUGAUUCUAUUAUCUGGCUAACUACAACGGAAUGGAAGGAAAUUCAUUUACUUACUGGUGGACCCAAAGAAGGUAUCUCCAAAGUCAGAGGUAAAUGGAUGGAAGUUGACUUGUGUCUGAUACAUAUAAAUAUAAUCACAAGAGCAUACUUAGUGAAAGUGGUAAGCAAGAAGCAAGAGAAAGAAAAAGGCCACUCAAGUCUAUCACUCAAUUUUAUUUUCCCCCGCACAGUUUUCUCCAUUAUGCAUCUAAACAAGGGAAGGAAUUACAGAUUUUGUCCAGUGUCUACGUUUUACCUUCCUAUAUUUAAUUUUUUCCCCACAAUACUUGACUUUCGCCGCAUUAUUGCUUUUCUGCGUACCUCGCCGCUUUUUUCUUAUGCUUCAUAUCCAAUUAUCAGGGUUCUCGCUAGUAUUUGCUCAUGGAGAAUUGGAUCAGUUGCUCUUCAGGGAUGGGUAUAUGAUGCAAUUGAAUCACAGGGCCAUGGCAAACAUUUGCUGAACGCCUAAAAUGUUCUGAGGAGCAGCAGAUGACCACCCAAGAUUUGAUACGGAUACUACCUAAAUAUUCAUCGAACCAUCUGUGUUUGGAUCUUGACAUCCACAAUUCUCCGUAGUUCACUUGUGUGCGUAGCUCCGUGAUGGAACAUCCCAUCAAAAGUUGGAUGUUCAGCCGAUUUUGAUCAGCACAACUGACAUCCAGGUUGCCAUAAAAAUGAGAAGACUGCAGGCUGCUAUGUAACUAGUCCAGAUUACUUCCAGGUGAUGGAAGUGAGGAGCUUCUUGCCUCCCUUGUUUCUGUCUCUUUUCCAGUAUCCUUUAUUAGAGGAGAAAAAGAGGUUUGCUGGAUAUGUUUUCUGUAUUUUCCUCCACUGUGCAGACACAAUAUCUGCUUCUGCGAGCAUUGUGGCAAGGGUUUUAUCCAGCGUUCAUUCUGGACGUGCAUCAAGUUUGUCCCUGUACAUCGCUCUUGUUUUCCCGACUCGGUUGCGACUCUGGUUUGGUGACUCGGAGGUUGUAUUUUCCCUGUUGUUUCCAACUAGUGCCGCUUCUCGGCUGCCUGGUAGUCAUGUAUUACCUUAGGCACUUCUCAACCCCUUGUUAGAAGGGGCGAGUGGAUUUAAUUCGAUACCUUGAAAGGUUUCAUAUUUAAGAGACCAAGCAGCGACUCUGCCAUAACUCGGAUGCGACGAACGGCGACAUUCCCAAAUGGGUCUCCCCCCUUUGUAGUGGUUUUGUUAAGGUAGGGGCGGGCCGGGCGUUCAGCUUUCUGACUAGAAAUGAUGCUUGAAUUAGAGCGGCUGACUGUCGAACGGCUGGUCUUGGCCCCUCCCCCUUUGAUAAAAGUCUUAAUCUAAGUAGCACCGAUAUCGUCACGUGAGAUAUGAUAUGUUGUGACAUGAGAUAUGAUAUGUUAGACGUGCCGUUUCUUAAAAAAUAGAAAAUUUGGAUACAUUGGUAUACAACUAUUAUAUAUUGUUGUGUAUGUAUAUAUGAUAAAUUAUCAUUUUUAUGUUAUUUUAAUUAAAUUAAUUUGAUUUAAAUUCACAAAUAAAUAAAUAAUAAAAAAGAGCCUAGAAUGAAUUUACACUUAAAUAUUAAUCUGCUAUUUGUUAAUAUUAUUCAUUAUUUCAAUUUGACAAAUUCAAUUUCAUUUCAAUAAUUUAUAAAACUUGGAAGAGAAAAACAAGCAAUUUACAUUUGAGAUUUGUAUGUCAGAGUGUGUUGGAAAAGAAGAGGUAAAAAAAAUUGGGGGAAUGAAUUAUGUGUUACGGAAACGAGAGUUGGAAGAGAACAAAAGACUAUUUUUCUUACUUUUUCAUUUAUUAUUUUUAUCUUCUUCUUUUUUUCAAAUUUACAUUUUGAUACUUCAUUUAUUGAAAAUUUUUAAAAUUGAUCCCAUAUGCCUCGGUAUUACGUGUUGGAAUUCUGGAAUUGUAUGUUGAAAUUUCAAACUCGAGUAUCGGGAGAGUUGAUCAGAUAUCAAAUUUUCUUAUAUGUAUUGAUCGAGUGUUGAACAUAUCGAAGUGUUUAAUAUAAUACAAAGACUUUUGGAAAGUGCCAAUACUUCAUAUGUCUUAAAUUAUUGCUCAUGGAGUUGGUUGAAUCAAUAAUAUCGACGAGAUCGUUAUUUAGAGCCAAGUUCACUCUUGUGAUUUGCCACUGGCCGCCCUCGUAUACGCCUGUGGAAUCUAAUUGAUCAUAUGGAAUUAAUCAGGGUCGGUGAAAGAUUACACGAGCAAAAUCAAAUGAUGGGCUCAUCGGCCACUCUUUCUAGUGGAUGAACGUAUGGUUUGAGAUAGGUUGCUUUUGUUUAUGUCAGCAAGCGGGCAACGUCGGCAUCGUUACGGACUGAUGGGGCCGCACACUGAUGUGUCUUUUUUUGGCUCGUAUCGAAAGGAGCAUCACUUUAAUAGAGAAUCGAUUUAGUAUAUGAUGUAUUGCACGUCCAACCAAUGCACGAAAUCAUCCAUGACUAUGACUCUCGUCUAAAAUAAUAAUCACGAGAUUCCCACAGUACAGAGAGGCGAUAUGGUUGGUUUGUGAGCACUUUAUUGUCCAAAAGCGAUUGUCCCAUUUCCUCUAAUCAAAGAAAUGCAUGAAAAAUUGGAGAAUGAAUGGUCUCACGGCACAUUUGUAACUUUAAGAUGUUUCGUCAUAUUAGGUAUAACAUUCGAGUGAUUGUUUUGCUUUUGUCCCUACGGUGUUUUUGUUGUGUUUUUGUCCCUAUGGUGUUUUAUUAUAUCUAUUAUAGAUGUGAUGCAUAGAACUGCCCAAUGCCAAAUGGGCAAAGCAAUUGCAUGGAUGAAGGACGACUUUUGUAGGUCCAGCUAUAGUCCCAAGUGGUUCGGAAUCUCUCUCUUACUCACAUAUUUGAAUUCUUUUGAUCGUUUCUCAAUUGCAAGAAUUCUUUUUUCCGAAUAAUUCCUAUGCUAUAGUCUCAAGUGGUUCGGAAUCUCUCUCUUACUCACAGAUUUGAAUUCUCCGAUCGUUUCUCAAUUGCAAGAAAUCUUUUUUCCGAAUACUUCCUACUUUACUCCAACUUGCAUUCACGCUAGUGGUAACAUGUUCCUUCUAAAAUAAGGGGUAAUGCCGAAUCAAAUUGAAAAGACUUUUUUUUAUUAUGAGAAUUUUGAUAGGACCAUUGAGUUUUUAGAAUAAUUAGUAAUUGUAUUAUAAAUUUUCACUUAAUUUUAGAGUUACAGAUUUUGAGUUCAAAUCUUAAGCAAAUAUAUAUAUUAAAUAUGAGGAAGAAUAUUAAAAUAUUUAAAUAUCAAAUUGCCUCUUUCAAGAAAUCUCAUAUAUAAAAAAUUAGAUUAAUUAUGAGGAAAAAUAUUAAAAUAAUUAAAUUAAAUAUCAAAUUACGUUAUUUAUUUAGUUUUAGUCGUUCCAACAAAUCUAAUAUAUCUCAAAUGAGCAACUUCCAAUUGGGAGUCAGAAUGAAGCCCCGCAAUGGGUGCUUGGAAUUGUGGGUUCCACGAGGACACGUGUCGCGUUUUCACCGUCUUUUUAUUUGACACGCUAGAGCAUGAGACGUACUUAAUAUGUUCUCCUACAUGAGACCUGUGACGACGAAAUGGGCAAGUCCCAGUCCCACCACCAACUCAAUCCCCGCCACGUGUCCACCUCUCACCUCCCCUCCAUCUCCUCCAUCAUUCGAGCCCCUCACUUUUCACUCUCUCUCUCUCCCCUCAAAAAGGAAAAAUACAGGACGAAAAGAAGAGAGAGACGGAGGAACCUCUCUCUCUCCAUUUCCGCCCCCUAGAAAAAGCAAAGCCAGUUGCUACUGCUGCUGCACGCGAUUCGCAGCAAAAGGCAACUCAAGUCAAGUCACGUCCCCGCACCUCCCCCACGAUUUUCUCUUUCUCAUUUUAAUUUAUACGUUUCCUUUUAUUGCCAAUCUUUAUUUAUUUAUUUAUUAAAUUUCUUUAAAUACUCACUCCCCCGGUGGCGGACAAAAUGGAGGACCUGCUACUGCUCAGUCGCACUAGCACCAUCGUCGUCCCAGUACGUGCAGCAUCUUCUUCAUCGUCGCUCCCGCCCCGUCGUCGCUCUCGCCUUCACGCGCCUCCAUCGGGAGCCGCGUCGCUCGGCCGCUCGCGCUCCUUAAAGCGUCCUCUCCGUCCUCCGCCCGAUCGCCUCUUCUCCGCCGCCGCCGCCGCAGCAGCAGCUCCGUCGUCGUCGUCUCCGUUCAGGUCCGUCCGUCCGUCCGUCCGCCUUCGCCUGCUCUCCGGUGCGUCGUCCGAUCGUGCAGGUUCUUUUCGGCGACCGAUUUUGGUUUCUGCACGGCGAGUUCACGUCACCGGAGGGGAAAAGUGGAGUCGCGCGUCUUUCGUCGGGCAUUUUGAGGUCCGUACUGGAGCGAGUGAUCGAGGUCGCGAUUCUCGUUGUGGCGCGCUUUUGAUUGCUUGCGAGAGAGAAUGCGUGAAGUCGAGAGGAUUGCAUGGAUGCGCUGUGCUGUGCUGCCUUUUCGGAGCAUCGACGCUUCGUUUCUUAAUCUGAAGUUGCGAUGAGAUUAGACGAGUAAUUGGACCGUGACAUGAAAAUCUCCCCGCGAUCACGACCGUGUGUUCGAAAUUCGAGUUAUGGCGAGAUGAAUCUGCGUGUAAUUGGAGUCACGGGGGUAGGACCGUUGAUGAAAGUAGGUACAUGCGCGAAGUCCACGAGCUGGAUUGCUGUUGUAUUGGCUUCCUACUGCUUCAAAUUUUUUUCCACGUCAGAUUGGUUGUGCUGCGGCAGAUUUCGAUACGCAACAUGCGCGAUGCUUCUCUGAUGUGGAAGUCCCUGCAUGUCACAAGCUCCCCUGCCUUUGUUAUAUACUUUCAUAUAUAACAUGCAUGAUGUUUCUCUGAUGUGCACACGAGGUUUUAGAUCUUGAUUCUUACACUAUAAUCAGUACUCUUCGAUGGCGUUUAGCAUUUUUGGUUCUUGGCAUUUGGAAAAAUGAUAAAUUGGUGUAAUGCCUGUGCGAAAUUUUUUUUUUUUUUUUUGAUCUAAUACCUGUGCGAAUUUGUGGCAUGCAGAGACGGGUCGAGAUUGAAAACUAAAAUGACUAUUCGAGAAGGUCAGGCGGUUGCUGCGGAUGUCACUGCGGGAGAUAUGAUCUUUGAGCCUAUUUUGGAGGAAGGAGUUUUCCGCUUCGAUUGUUCUGCAAACGACAGAGCCGCGGCAUUUCCUAGCCUUUCUUUUGUCAACGGCAAGGAUAGGGAUACGCCAAUAACAAUUCAUCAUGUCCCAUCUUAUAUCCCGACUUACCAAUGUCUCUUUGGCCAGCAGAUUGUCAAACUUGAGGUCAGUCACUGCAUGCUCUUAUUUCUUUCUCUUAAAUUAUUUGAAUCACUUGUUGGUUUUGUUGUGCUCCCUGGACUGUGACAUUUCCAAUACUUUUAGGAGCUUCAUCUGCUUGAUUUCUGUUUUCCAAGUGUGUAUGUAUUUGUCGAAGCCUUAAUAACGUUAUUUUACAUAUGAUGUAGCUACCUGCUGGGACCAGUUUUUACGGGACUGGCGAAGUCAGUGGACAGCUUGAGCGCACUGGAAAAAGAGUUGGUUCUCUUUCCUUGACUUUGCAUGCUAGCAUAUGUGUUUUCUCUCCUUGAAUUCUCAAUGAUCUCUCUUGUUUUAGGUGUUUACAUGGAACACAGACGCAUGGGGUUAUGGCCCCGGUACUACAUCUUUGUACCAAUCUCAUCCUUGGGUGCUAGCUGUUCUUCCGAGUGGAGAGUCACUGGGGAUUCUUGCUGACACGACACGUCGUUGUGAGGUGUUGUGAACUCAUGACUGUGAUCACAUAUUGGAGUAGUUUCUUGGAAGAUCCGAUUCAAACUUGUUUUAAGCUUACGAGUGAUAUUUUCUCAUGGGCAGAUUGAUCUGAGAAACAAGUCAAUAAUACAGUUCACGGCUCCAUCCUCAUACCCUGUCAUUACAUUCGGUCCAUUUGCUUCACCUGGCGCAGUUUUAACAUCCUUGUCUCAUGCAAGUGGUAAUAAUGCUGUGCAUGUCAGCUUCUUUCCACAUGUGUGCUAUUCUGCUUAAUUCUAUUCUCCCAAUCAUUUUUAAUGUGUGGCCACUUUUCGUAGAUGCUACUCACUAUGUUGGAAAGUGUGUCGAUGAAUGAGCCGACCUCAAAACAAAUUUACCAAAAAUCCCUAAGAACAUGGAAGUCCAUUUUGUUAGCUUACCGGAUACUUCAGUUUAGAAGCAAGGUUUUUGUGCUUCCUAUACUGCAAAUUCUACUGCCUCUUUUAUCUGGUCUUUUUCCUUUUGUGGACAAGUGAUACUUCAAAUUCUUAGAAUCUUUUCUACAGAUGCUCUCUAAACUUUGAGAUCUUGAUUUUGACAUUUGAUGCCAAAACACUCGAGGCAUGUCUAUUGCUUUUUUUGACCAUUUGCUUUUUAUUACAAAUUUAGGCUUCACUUAAUUGGUUUUCCUGAGGAGUAUGCAUGUUAUGCUGUUAAAAUUACAGACACAGAAAAGUUGAAUGUAUUAAUUUUAUCAGGAUAUCUUGCAUAAUUCUUAUUACCAUGAACUCUCUGUUUUUCCAUCUUUAAAUGAAGAAAAAGCUUCAUGCUAAUGAGUGAAGUUGUCAGAAUAAUUUUUUCUGUCAUUCUAUGACUUUUCUUUUCUCUGGAAACAUCCAUCUGUGGAUUUUAAGUUUAGUACUAAAUGGACUUUACAAGACCACCAGAAUGAUUAGACAAUUUUCUUGAUAGUCUGUUUAUUACUAUUAUUGCUUGAAUUAACAACAUACCUUGCAUAUAUUGUCAGGAACCGUGUUUAUGCCACCAAAGUGGUCCUUAGGCUAUCAACAAUGCCGCUGGAGCUAUGACUCUGAUAACAGAGUUAGAGAGGUUGGCCCUUUUGAUGCAUCUUGCUUGAUUCUACAAUCUUUCUUCCUCAACCCUCGUUUCCUUCUACCUGAUUUGAUAACAAUGAUUAACUUUCACUGUAUGCUGUCGGCGUAUCAUUCAUGAGUUGAUGCAUGACAGUUCUUUAGCGCUCUAAUUUUUGUCCACUUAUUGCAGAUCACGAGUACAUUCAGAGAAAAGGAGAUUCCUUGUGAUGUCGUAUGGAUGGAUAUAGAUUAUAUGGAUGGGUUUCGCUGCUUCACUUUUGACAAGGCAUGGACUCCUGUUUUGUUUUAACCCUGUUAUUGCCUUGUUUAAAAAAAAUAUUACAGACUACCUUCCUCUAAAUAGGACUAAUUUCACAUCAUCUACCUCACUUUCAAUAGGUAUGAAGCCACUUGCAACUUAUGUCCGGAUGAAAAUUCUUAGUUUUAGCCAAUUUCAAAAAGACGUCACAUACAUAUCAUGAAAAUUCACUUAAAACAGAGCAUAACUACAUAUCUACAUCAUGAAAGUUCACUUGAAGCGAAGCAUAUAUCAACAUCUACAUGUAAGAUGUGAGAAUUUUGUCCAAUAUGAAUGAAGAUCUGUUUUCAUCUAGAAAUAAUCUUGAGGAAGAUGGUGUUAUUCAUUUUGGAAGUGAGGUAGGUUGUGUGGAAUAUGUUGUCGAUUAAUUCACUUUGUAGGAACUGCAAUGAUCAAUGUUCUUUUGAUAUUCUAAUCUCAACCUUAGGUAUGGUUCUUGAUGCAGAAAUGCCAUGCAUUUCUGUUUUUUCCAUUGCUUCCAUACGUUUAAUCCACCAAGUCCUUUGAGAUUGGUAUUCACUUUAUGUUUGAAUCCUCCUAAGCGCAUUCAUGUCUAGGACUUUUUGCCUCGCUGACUUGUCUAAUAGUAGAAGGACUUACGUUCAAUGCUUAGUCUACAGUAGACACCUCUACUAAAUAAACAGUACUAUUUUCAGCAUGGAAACUGAGACAAAGUAUUUAUUCUCAGGACCGCUUCUCUGAUCCAAAAUCUUUGGUAGAUAGUCUCCACCGAGACGGGUUUAAGGCUAUCUGGAUGCUUGAUCCUGGUAUCAAACGCGAAGAGGGGUAUUUUGUCUUUGACAGUGGUUGCAAAAGUGAUGUCUGGAUGAAAGCAGCAGAUGGGACUCCAUUUGUUGGUACUUUGCUGUCUUUUACUGUGGUUUUGGCUAAUCUUUGUCAUUGUCUAUUUAGUUUUGCUAUUUCCUUUUCGUCUUUUUCUUUUUUGUAGCAUUUGAAAUGUAAAGUAAUCCCUUAGAUCUUUCAAAACAUAUAAUCAAAAUUCUGGAAGGCAGAAAUUGAUCAGACAAUGCUGAUUAACGUAUAUGUAUGUAUAUAAUCAAAAUUCUGGAAGGCAGAAAUUGAUCAGACAAUGCUGAUUAACUGUUUGCUUGUCAGGGGAGGUGUGGCCUGGUCCUUGUGUUUUCCCUGACUUUACACAGUCAAAAGUCCGUCACUGGUGGGCUCAGUUAGUUCAGGAUUUCAUUUCUAAUGGAGUUGAUGGUAUAUGGAAUGAUAUGAAUGAACCGGCUGUCUUUAAGGUAACUAGUACUUUUAGUUUCUGUCAUUUUCUCUUGUUGGACUAUGGCUUACAACUUCUCUUUCAGUCUGUGACGAAGACCAUGCCCGAGAGCAACAUUCAUAGGGGAGAUGAUGAACUUGGAGGUGUCCAGAAUCACUCACACUAUCAUAAUGUAUGUUUUCCAACCUUUUGCUAUUUGUAGUUUGUGUUUCAUCUUUUUGAGUUAUAUAAAAAUAGAUAUUAAGCAAUUUUGUAAUGUAUCCACUGUGCUUGUACUGGAAAAGCAAGGGGGGUUAAGAGUUAAAGAAUGAGUUGUUGAUUUGGGGUGAAGUGCUAAAUGCUUUCUAUUGAAUAUAGUAGGAUAAAAUACGAUAACUUCUGGCUUUCCACAUUUUAGCACAAGCAAUGUCAUGCUUCAACUUUUGGUUAGUUUAUCCGACCUGUACAUUUGGCUUCAUCCAAAAUGAAUGGCGAGGCUAGCAAAAUAAGAUUGUGCCUUGCUUUCCACCUCCUUGUCUGAGGAUCUUCUCUGCCAAAUUUGCAUUGUGUGCUUUGAGAACCUUCUCUCCCAUGACCUAAGUAUUCUCUUCCAUGUGUAAAAUCACAAUCAAACCAUUAGAUUUAAGAAAAUUGAGACUGGGCCAAUGGAAGAAGAGUUAUAUCUUUGUAAAGCAUUAGCAACACCACCAUUGCAAGUGUGAGAUUUUGUGGAACCGCUGCCAAAUAUUCUAAAAGUUUAAGUUGUUAGAUGAAGGCAUGGUUUAAUAUUUAAUUACUCUAACAUCAAGAUUGGGCAAUAGUUUUAUCUUUGAUCAUUUGGUACUUUCAUCAAGUUGAGAGUAUUUUGCUAAUAGGGGUAUAUUUGUCUAUUUACUUUAUUAUUUUAUGUAUGGGGGCAAUAAGGGCAACGUUGUAAUUUUUUACCUUUUGACUUUACUAUAAAUAGAUAGCUUGGGGUCAGAUUGAUCUAACUAAGCAUUCAGUUUAGUUUUUGUCUUUCAACACAUCAUUUAUAAGGGUUGCAUGCCUUGUCCUUCAUAAAACACAUGCAUGAGUGGGUUGAAAUUCCCACACAAAAAUCAGCGGUUCUGUAACUACGGUACCAACGGUGUGAAGAGAUCAGCAAAUAAUCGUAAGCUUUUCAUUCAUCAGUAAGUUUGCUGUCUGAAGGAUAUAAGGACUGAGGAAAAUUAUCAUUUUUGUAGCUUUCAACUUGGAAGGGGGAGGUGGGGGUUCGAACCCCCACUUUCUCGGAGGGUUUGGGUGGGGACGGUUAAGUUUCAGGAGUGGGUUUCGACUCCCACGCCCUGCAAUGAGGUAGGGCAAAAGUAUGAGAGUGAGUGUUAGAGUAGGACCGAUAAAAAAAGAAAAGAAAAAGGAAUAGGCAUAUGUGGCUUGUGAUCGCAUUAAAUAGUAGUCUAGUGAUAUGGAGAUUGAAAUCAAGUGAUUUAUUUGCAAUAAUCUAACAGUGGCAUUAGUUACAAACUUUAACCUUAAACAUGUAAGAUUCGAAAAAGAACCACAGUAUUGGAGAUUAAAAAAUAUAGAGGCUUUGGUUGGACUCAUCUUUAUCAAACAAUAACCUGUGCAGGUUCUGAGAUUGGAUGAAGAACCAAACAGCUAAUCAAUAACUUAUGUGAGGAAAACGUACAUCGUAUGAUUCAAUAAAGUUUAAUAUAUAUACAUCAAAUAAACCCUAAAAGUGGUAAAUACCUUCUUACUUCUAACACUCCCCCUCAAGUUGGAAGUUUAAUAUAUAUACAUCAAAUAAACCCUAGAAGUGGUAAAGACCUAUUUACCAUUCUUACUUCUAACACUCCCCCUCAAGUUAGAGCAUAAAUAUUAAUCAUGCCCAGCUUGUUACAAAUAUGUUAUAUCCUCUCAUUACCUAAGGAUUUAGUGAAGAUGUCUGCAAGUUGUUCACUGGUUUGAAUAUGAUUGGGAAGAAUUACUCCCCUUUGCAACUUUUCUCUUGGAUAAAAUGACGAUCAAUCUCAAUGUGUUUUGUUCUCUCAUGAAACACGAGGUCGGAAGCUAUGUGCAUUGCAACUUUAUUAUCGCACCAUAGAAUCAUGGGUACUAAAUCUUUAAAACCUAACUCAGUCAAUAACUGUCGAAUCCACACUAAUUCACAUGUCACUUGUACCUGGCUCUAUAUUCUGACUCAGCACUGGAGUGGGUAACAACACUUUGUUUCUUACUUUUCCAUGAAACCAGAUUUCCUUUGACUAAGAUACUAUACCCAAUAGUUCAUCUUCUAUCAUUUGGAGAUCCAGCCUAAUCGGCAUCAGAAAAACCUUCAACCCACCAUGGUUUUGGUAGACAAUUUCUUUCCCUAGAGCUUUUUUUAAAUACCUUAAUAUCCGAAUAAUUGCAUCCCGAUGAGACGUACGAGGGGAAGACAGUUUUUGUCUUACUACACUAACAGGAAAAACAAUGUCUGAUCGAGUAACAGUAAGAUAAUUCAACUUACCUACCAGUCUUCCAUGUCUCUUGAGAUUAUUAAGAAUUUCUUAUCCAUCAGCAACUAAUUUAACCCCUUGUUCCAUGGGUGAAUCAAGAGGCUUUGAUCCCAAUAUACCUGUCUCAGUGAGCAAAUCCAAGACAUAUUUUCGUUGUGACAGCGCCACUUCAAUUCCUAGGAAAUAUUUCAAUUUUCCUAAGUCCUUAAUUUGAAACUGUUGUUGAAGAUAGGUUUUUAGCUCAGCUAUACCAACCAAAUCAUCUCCCGAUAUAUCAUCAAUAUACACAAUCAAGAAUAGUUUGCCUCCCCCUGAUUGUUUAUAAAAGAAAGAAUGAUCAUUUCCACAUCUCAAUAGUCCAAAAGAUAGUACAACCUUAGAAAAUCUUCCAAACCAUGCCCGUGGAGAUUGUUUCAAACUAUAUAAAGACUUUUUUAAUUUGCAAACUAGUCCAACCCCCUGAGCAACAGAUCCCGGAGGUUGCUCCAUGUAAACUUCUUCAUGAAGAGUGCCAUGCAAGAAAGCAUUCUUAACAUCAAGAUGAAAUAAAGGCCAGUUAUAUGUUGUAGCAAGAGAGAAAAAAUAUGAACAGAAGUAAGUUUGGUAACAUGAGAAAAUGUGUUUAGAUAGUCAACCCCAUACACUUGAGCAUAUCAUUUGGCAACAAGUCUUGCUUUUAAACGAGCAAGAGAACCAUCAGGGUUGACUUUUACAUCAUAUACCCAUUGACAACCAAUAGCAGUUUUGCUUAGAAGAAGUGGUACUAAGUCCUAAGUUUGAUUAAUCUUGAGAGCCUUUAAUUCUUCUUUCAUUACUGUUCUCCAGCCAAAACUUUGUAAUGCCUUAGCGACAGACUUGGGGACAGGAUAUUGUUCAACAAUAGUUAAAAAAGCUCGAAAAGUAGGAGACACAAAAGAGUGAAAUAAAAUUUGCAAUAGAAUGUUGAGUACAAGUACGUGUACCUUUGCGAUGAGCAAUAGGAAGAUCAAGAUUAGAUACAAGAGGAGGGUCAGUUAAUGGCGGAUCUGGAGCAGAAGAUGACGUAGUAGCGAUGGGAAGAGCGGGGGGAGCAGUAGUAGUGACAUGAGGACGUCGAGUAUAAACCUGGAGAGGAAGUGGUUUUUCUGUAGAUACUGGUGAUACAAUUGGAAUAGUAGAUCGAAUGGUGGUCAUAUACAAGUCUUCAUCCAAUUUAGACACAUCGAUGGGAACAUUAUGAUAAUGAGUGGAUUCAAAAAAUGAAACAUCAGCUGUUAUAAAAUAUUUUCUCAGUAAUGGAGAAUAAUAACGAUAUCCUUUUUGAGUGCGGGAAUAACCCAUAAACAUACACUUGAUUGCCUUGGGAUCAAGUUUUAAUACUCCAGGUCGAUGAUCACAAACAAAACAGACAUAACCAAAGAUACAAGGUGGUAGGACAAACAGUGGUUCGUUAGGAAACAAAGUGGAAAAAUGAAUACCACCUUGCAUAAUAGAAGAAGGCAUGCGAUUAAUGAGAUAACAUGCAGUUAGAACAACAUCAGACCAAAAAGUUUUUGGGAUCUUCAUCUCAAAUAACAUGGAUCUAGUAAUUUCCAAUAAAUGCCUAUUCAUCCUUUCAGUAACACUAUUCUAUUGUGGAGUAUUAGGACAGGAAGAUUCAUGGAUCAAUAGCAUGUUGAGUCAUAAAAUCAGAAAAAGAUGUGGAAAAGUACUCCUUAGCAUUAUCAGAACGCGGAACUUUAACACGCAUGCCAAAUUGAGUAUAAAUUUAAGAUAUAAAUGCACGAAAAAUAGAAAAUAAUCUUUCAUUAAAUAUAACCAAGUAACUUUGAAAUAGUUAUCGACAAAAGUAACAAAAUAUCUAAAACCUGAAUUAGAAACCACAUGACAUGGACCCCAAAUAUCUGAAUGAACUAAUAAAAAUGGAGAUGCUGCUUGUUUAAUUACUCGAGUGUAACUAACAUGAUGUAAAUUGCCAACUUGGCAUGACUCGCACUCUAGACUAGAAAGAGAUUGAAAACUAGAAUCCAACUUUUGAAGACUACUUAGAGAAGGAUGACCAAGACGACAAUGGAUUUGAUGUGGGGACGCAACACUUGAGCAAGCAAUUGAAGAAGCAUCUUCAAGUACAUACAGCCCCCUUCCUCACAUCCUCUACCAAUCGUCUUCUUCAUAGUCAGAUCCUGAAAAAUACAAGAAUCAUGAUUAAAAGUUACUGAACACUGAAAGUUUUUGGUUAACUUACUAACAGAGACAUGAGGUUAAAUGGAAAUUGUGGAAGAUAAAGCACUGAGGACAACGGCAAUGAAGGAGUUGGGUUAAUUGUGCCAAUUCCCUUAACAUGUGUAGGUGAUUCAUUGGCUAGAGUAACUAUGGAUGAAGAUUGAGAAAGAGAGGAAAAUAUACCUGAAAGACCUGACAUGAUCAGAAGCCCGUGAAUCAAUGAUCCAAGGACGAGAAGUAGCUGAAAGGCAUGCAAUAACAUUACCUGUCUAUGCCAAAGUAGCAGUGGAAGAAACAGGCUGUGAGAUUUGAGAUUGUUUGUAUCGAGCAUAUUCCUCACCAGACAUAACCACUAACUUGUCUUCAGAUGACUAUGGAGUAGAGUUAAUAUUAGACGUCGUAUUAGCGAACUGGUGCUGCUGCCCUGGUCUCCCAUAUAGCUUGUAGCAAAAUUUUUGAAUAUGAUUAGGUUUGCCACAAUAAUGACAAAUUCGUGUAGUUCCCGAAUUAUCAGUAGAUAUGUGGAAUUGUCCAUAAGGAUGCUGAUGACCUUAACCUCUCCCUAUUCCUAUGCCUCGGCCUCCUCGAACACCAUACCCACUAUAUCCACUACGGUUUCCUCCACAACUCCUAUUACCACUACUAGUUCGAGUCUGGGACACGAGCUAAACUCCCCACUAUAGAUGUAGUAUCCUGAGAAGAUUCACGAGAUACUCGAAGAACUCGAGCAAAUGUAUCUGUGAGUGACACUAUAUUCUCUCCUCCAAGAAUUUGAGACCUAACAGUUUUAUAUUUAGAACCAAGACUUCCUAAGAAUCCCAUUACAGCUAAUUGUUCCCUCUGACGUUGCAUUUGUUGAACAUUGGCUGAAGUAGGGAGAACGACACUCAACUCCUCAUACAAUCUCUUAAAAUCUGCAAAGAACUGGGUAAUAGAGCGUCCCUUCCUUUCAAAUUGAUAAAACUCCUGCGAUAGCUCAUAAAUCCGUGACAAAUUAUCUUGGCUAGAAUACAACACAUUCAAAUACUCCCAUAGUUCUCUAACUGUAUCAAUAUGAGUUACCAUGUCAACUACAUUACUCUUUAUAGAAUUCAGCAUUUGACCAAGAAUACGUGUCAACACCAUCCCAAGUUACAUCAUCUCUGGGCUUAAACUCAGUUAAGUGUCUAUGUUGAUUCUUGCCAGUCAAAGUAAGUUUCACGAUUUUCUUCCAUUGGUGGAAGUUAGCACUAUCUGUGAGCUUCUUAUCAGUACUUUGAUUAGACGAAAAAAAAAUCACCUCAGUCAUCACAGUAUUAUUCUUCUCAGGAUCUACUUCAAUUAUACUCUUCGAGCGAUCGCCCAUUUUCCAAAUAAUAAUAAGCAAACUCUUACCUUAGCUUAUGUCAAACAACUCAGCCUCAAUAAUUUAAUAACCCAAUAUUACCACACAAGAUCUCCACAACCCACGUAAAGUAAUAGAGACUGCCACCAAUUCACAGACCCUCAAAUUAACAAAUUUAUAAUCUGAAAAUGGUCAGUAAACUUCCCAGCCAUCAAAGCCGAAGCAACACAUGCCAUAGAAACUCCAGAAGAUCAAUGUAAAGGGACAAAAAAGAAUUUCUCCUUUCAGUUGCAAAAAAAACACCUCAGAGUCCUUUCCUGCAUGAGGGCACUAGUGCCUGUGCUUUGCGCUCCAUUAUAUGUUGUCUGUCCUCAUGCGAAUCAAGCAAGUCAACAACCAAAAUUUGCCCAGCAAGCUGUGUGAGACGUGAUGGCACUGUGCGAACAAAAUCUGUGACCCAACUGUGUGGGUCACGUGAUGGAGCCAUGAGAUGGUGCCGCACCAGCUGCGCGAGGGUAACGCACCAACUGUGCAAGCCAUGAGAUGGAGCUGCGCAAGCCGCACAGGUCGCACGAGUCGCGUGAGGCAUGCGAGCCGCGCAAACUGCGAGAGGGAGCCGCACGAAAGGUCAAGAAAGAAUUGUGCAAAAAAGAGAGAAAGAAGGAGACACUCGACGGUGACAAGCCACAACUGUGACGGCCGACUAUUCCGGCGAGUGGCUACUUUGUCGACUAGAGUUAAUCCCAAGGCUCUGAUACCAUGUGAGGAAAAUGUACAUGGUAUUAUUUAAUAAAGUUUAAUAUAUAUACAUCAAAUAAACCCUAUGAGAUUGGAUGAAGAACCAAACAGCUAAUCAAUAACUUCCAAGCAUUUGGAGAGAAAACAGUAAAAAAUUAAUCCUUCAAUAUCACAAAGGGAAAAAGUGAAAUGGAAAGGGUCCAUUUUGUAAUUUUGGCUUGCAUGUGCAAUCCACAUUGCUCGGUUUGUUUCUCUGAUGCUCACUAGGUAAAUUUUGAAGGCUUCUGUUUAGCUAUAGCUCUAGUUUGAAUCUUUAUGGAGAAAGCAAAGAAGUGAGGGAGACCAAAGGAAAAAUUACAGUAGUUGAAGGCCUGAAAAUGAUUGGCAAUUUACCAAAUUAGAGUUAUUGCUGCUCUAGUAGCGGAGAAGAAAACAGCAAAGAUACUUUGAAUGUACUCGCAAUUAGAGAAACAAAUAAGUAGUUUUACUCUUCUCCUUUAUCUAGUGACAUUAUUGCGAGAGAUCAAAUUUUAUGGUGAUAAUUCCCAAGAAUUUCCUUGUUAUAGACGCCGGUUGCAAAUGGUACAUUCUAAAUAUCUUGGUGACUUGUAACCAUUGCUCAUGUAGCUGGUACUUUUGUUUUUGUCCACUAAGAUCUGGUUACUCAAUUUUACCAUCCCUGUUACAGGUUUAUGGAAUGCUGAUGGCUAGAUCUACGUAUGAGGGCAUUAAAUCAUCUAACGAAAACAAACGUCCAUUUGUCCUUACUAGAGCUGGAUUCGUCGGUAGCCAGAGGUAUGCAGCUACUUGGACUGGUGAUAACCUUUCAAACUGGGAGCACCUGCACAUGAGCAUCUCAAUGGUACUUCAGCUGGUAAGUGAAUUAUGGAGGCUAUGCUGCUUGUUUUUGCUUGAAGAAAUUCCGUUUACUUUUGGUUUUCGCUGAACUUAUUGCAUUUUCCUGUCCAACUUUCAUCUUUUAUAACUUAUGAUGGAUUACUUCAAGGGAAUGACAGUAGCAAAUUUAGGUCUUUCCUUCCAAGCUUGUGUACUCAAGGUGGAGCUCAAGUGUCUGUAAAUAUCAGGGUAAUUAUGAUAUUAUAACUGCAGUGUGCAGCAUGGACAUAGAAAUUUGGUUUUCAUCAUCAAUCACGUGGUAAUCAUUGUGCAUAUCAUCAAAGAGAAUGAGUAAGCGGUAACCUUAAUUUCUAUUUCCCUACAUAGGUGAUGAUCCAAUAUUGGUUAGGUAUAGUUGUUGUAUGCCAUGCUGACACUUUGAUUUAAAUAAGUAAGCUUGCGGUUGACAAGGCAUGCCAAAGCAGUAACUCUAAAUAAUUGAGUUCUAUUGUUUGUGGGACUUUCUUUGCAGACUUAAUUCUCUAAUGUAUUUUAAGUGAUUUAGACCCUUUGAAGCACCGGAUCCUGGUUUCGUUUGCCCUUUCUUUGGUAUGACUUUAAUUGUGAUAUUCAUCAUAUUUUGAUUCCAAAUUGACGGUUUACUAUGAGCUUAUCCAUGGGUUUAUGCACUCUUUGAAUAGGAAUCCAUUUUUUGAAAGAUCCUAGCUUUCAUCCUCUGGUGGGUCUUGGACAACCCAAAGUUCCUAGCUUUUAUGUACAGAUUUUGGACUCCCGUCUACAAAUUUGAUGCGGUGUUUUUGAGAAUAAUUCACAUAAUUCACAAAUGUACAGAUCAUCCAUCCUGACUAAUUUUAAUUUUGUUCAGGGUCUCAGUGGUCAACCACUUUCAGGACCUGAUAUCGGUGGAUUCGUAGGAAAUGCGACACCCAAGCUUUUUGGAAGGUGGAUGGGUAUAGGUGCAAUGUUUCCAUUCUGUCGUGGACAUUCUGAAAUGGACACCAAUGACCAUGAGCCUUGGUCAUUUGGUGAGGAGGUAUGUGCUGCUUUCCUUGGUGACGUGCUCAUGUCAUGUGCAUGAACUUUGUCCUGAUGAUUUUUAUUUCACUCAUUCGAAUUAAAUUCUCUCAAUAAAGCACUUCUGUCCGCUGACCUUGCUCCCAGUGUUUUGAAAGAAAAGGUUUCCCUCUUCUGUUAGUGAUAGACCCGUCAUCAGAAAGACUCCAAAUUUCUUAAAUGGCUAGGAAAGAUGUGAAAUAAAUCAUGUCUCUCAGUCCGUAGGGAACCUCUGGACCUUCCUUUCUUGUAAAAUAUAUGAAAUCAUGACCAAUUUAGCAAGCUGACUCUUUAGUAUCAGAUUCUCUACCUUCAGAUUGCUGGAAUGUAUAGAUUCCUCUAAUUGUCGUUGGUGCUUAUUUUGUAAAUUCAUUGGUUCCCUUGGAAGAUUUUACAGAAAUGAUCUUUUACUUUCUUUUUUGUCUCUCUUGCACUAGUGUGAGGAAGUCUGUCGCCUGGCACUGAAGCGGCGCUACCGCUUUCUUCCCCACAUAUAUACUCUUUUCUACAUGGCUCAUAAAACGGGCACUCUUGUGGCAAGUCCGACCUUUUUUGCUGGUGGGUUAGCAUGGUGUUGGAUAGCAUUCUUGCCUUCGUACCACAUGUAUUACUGUUCUUAUUUGCGUAGAGGAUAUCUAAGCUUAACAAGUUCUUGUGCAGAUCCCAAAGAUCCCAGGUUAAGGACACUGGAAAAUUCAUUUUUAUUAGGGCCACUCUUGGUUUGUGCAAGGUUAUCCUCUCUUCAUUAUAAAAUUAAAAAUUUGACCUUGCACAUGUCAUGAGGAUACAUGCAACGUGAGCUCCUCGCUGCUUCUCCAUAUUGUAUUGCAGUUACUAGUGUCUUUCCCUUUUUUUUUUUUGUCUUUGCUGAUCUAGUUAGUAUCUUCCUCAGAGUUUCAGAAAGAGAAUAUAUUUUUUCAACUUUUGAGAUUACAACUUAAAUAUACUGUAGUCUAAUCAUGUCAUUAGGUGUAAUUGCUGUCCACGCCUUAUGUAGCGUGAUCACAUGACGUAUGCAUGUUUCUGCACUUAUGCGAUAUGGUAUUCUAUCAAUGUUCUCACUACUAGCGGACCUGGAGGGGCUGGUGGUGGCCCUCAUCCCCUUAGGCUCAGUAGCCAUCGCCGCUUACAAAUUACAUAGAUUUCCUACAUAUCUAUGUUAUUAAUGUUUGAGUGUACGUGUCCCACUGUGAGAGGAAAAUCCCUAUUAAUGAGAGAUUGAUUGAGUUAACGUAUCAGUACCUUCAAUGUUAUGUCUUACUUUUAAAGGUCUUCUGCAUUUUGUAGCAUUGUCAUCAUAAAGAUGUGCCAUCUGGUAAGUUAAUGGGAAUAGUGAGCAAAAGAUGUGAUGGUUAUUAAAUCUUGAUACUGUCCUUGUUAGUCCUCAAAAUAACAGAUGAUUCUUUGGGUUCUUUUGCCUAAGUUUCUUGGCCUUAUUGAUGGUUCUGCAAGGGUUUAAUAAAUUGCGUUUAAAAAGGCUUUAAGCCGAACAUAAAUCCAUAUGCAUCUGCUAAUGUCAUUUAAUCUUGAUCAGCUCUAUGCCACAUCAGGAAUCAAAUGACUUGCAGCAUGUGUUGCCCAAGGGUAUUUGGCUGACCUUUGAUUUCGAUGAUGCACACCCGGUACCACAAGUUCUUAGUUUCUCUGUAAUGCUCUUCAUGAUAAUGGUUUGCCGGCAGUUAACGUUAUUUUGCUUUAACUUGAUAGGAUCUGCCCUUAUUAUUUCUACAAGGUGGUUCAAUCAUUCCUUUGGGUCCUCCCCACCAACAUGUUGGUGAAGCUAAUCUUUCAGAUGACUUGACACUCCUUGUGGCUUUGAAUGAGCACGGUAUAUCUCUUCCACUUGAAUUUUCUUGUUUGACUUGAAUUUUUCUUGGGUAGUGUUGUAUUGAUGGUUACAGGUCAUGAACAUAUAUAACUUGUGAAAAUUCAUCUUUGGAACGCGUCAAGUUGCUGAUUAGAAGUCUAAUUAUCAUUGUCCAUCGCUUUCAAUUGAAAAAUUUACUGUUUCCUCUAUGGAUUCUUAUAAUUAUCAUUAUGUUGUUUGUUGACGGAACCGCUAAUGCCAGAUGUCUAUUUAAUAGAUAAUUUCUGGUUGCUCAAGCUUAGAACAACUUAAGCAUGUCAUUAACUCAAUCUUGUUAAAUGUACUUGCUAAAUUGUGUCCGAUUGUUUUCUUUCCGUCUUUCCAAUAAGUAAGCUUGUCUAAUUCUGUAUUUUCCUAUCUCGUGAGUCUAUGGCAUGCUUCUUUGUCACACACUACUGUUGACCAGCAUCGAAAUUUUUUCCACAAAAGUUCUUAAUCAAUACUGUAAGUUGACAGCAAAGUGAGGCAAUCGGUUUACAUUUUUGAUGCUAUUAGGCUUAAGUCAAAAAGCACUUGCAAGAGGAUCUUUUUGUUAAGAAAAAUUGGAAGGUUGAAUAUAUGAUAAAUAGCAUGUGACUACCGAGUGUUUCAUCCAUAUCUUUCUUUUUUCCUGCUGUAAAGAAGACUGGUUGAAUUUUAUCCAUAUAUUGAUAUGUAUCUUCUCUGCCAAACAGGGACCGCGAAGGGCAUUCUUUAUGAAGAUGAUGGUGAUGGAUAUAAGUAUUUGGAGGGAGAAUAUCUGCUAACUCACUAUAUUGCAGAACGUGAAUCGUCGCUGGUUACCAUAAGAGUGUACACAGAAGAAGGUUCAUGGAAGAGGCCAAAAUGUCGUCUGCAUGUAAUGUUGUUACUUGGUGGAGGGGCAAUGGUAAAUUCCAUUUCAUAAGGAAGGGCGCUUGUUUUAUCUGAUUUAAGAAUUUGUUAUUAAGCACCACUGGAGUUGUUAUUUGGAAAUUGUGAGCAAAUAUGAUCAUACACAGGUUGAUGCGUGGGGCAUGGAUGGCGACACUAUCCAAAUUACAUUGCCUUCAGAGGACGAAGUGUCUAAGAUGGUAGCUGCAAGUGAGAAGAAAUAUAAUGCACGCUUAGGUAAUGCUAGUUUGCAAGUUGGAAACCCUAUGAUGUGUCUACGUCUCUGAGGAUGAAUUCGUUACUUUUUUUGGCAAAAUGGAAUCGUGUUCUGCUGUGAACGUGGCUGGAUCUCUCUCAUUAUCAAGUUCUUAUCAAACCAAUUUCAUAAGUUUAUGUCCAUAUCUAUAUUUGUUUUUUGUCUUGAUACUACCUAUUCCUUUUGCGAUAAUUAGAGCCGAAGAUUAAUAUUCAUUAGGCCACGUCUUCUUUUCAUAGUUUUUUAUCCUGGAAAAAAUGCUGGUGAGAUAUCCCUAGCUGCAGCAAUUUGUGGGUUAAUUGGCUUUUUUGAUGGAAAACGGAUACAAAUUCCCAUUUUCAUUGUUAUAGUAAAUAUGCUAUCCAUGAGAAUUGAUUCAUUCUGUGAACAUGUUAACAACAUGGAACUUUAAUGUUUGUUUAUCAGAUUUAUAGUCAUAAAUGCAAAUUUAAAUCAAGAACCAUGGUUUGGUAGAGAUACUUUGUGCUCAUUCAUAUCCACACAGAGGAAAGUUGCCUCCUUAAUGACUGCUUACACUUGUUUCAACUCUUAUUGAUUGCCAUGCAUCAACUUUAAAAAGUUUACAUGGAUGAUAUUUCCAGGACAUCUUUUAGAAACUUUUUGCUGUGGGAAGGAGAGAGUUGGUAAAUCCAUGAACAUUACUGCACAUCCUGUAGCAGCUUUUCCAACUUUUUGCUGAUAUUCGAGGAAGGUGGCUCCUCCUUGACUGGGGAUGUCAUUCUUCCUCUUGGAUUAUUAUGGGCUCCGAAGAAAAAUGUUUGAAAAUCACUGCAUUUUUUGAUAUCAUAUCACGACUUUGCCUAUGUCUUCUGCAUCUUCUCCAUGUACCCGUAUUGAUGCAAGUGAUUCUUGCAUGCAGAGAGCUGUAAGCGCAUUCCAGACGUUGAAGAGAUCUCAAGCCAUAAGGGUGUAGAACUUGCGAGGACCCCUAUUGAGCUAAAAAGUGGGGAAUGGAUAGCCAAAGUUGUUCCUUGGAUUGGGGGAAGGAUCAUAUCAAUGGAGCAUGUCCCUUCAGGUGAUUUGACUGGGUUCUUAACCAUCCUGAUACUACUACAACUAUUUAAACGUUUUUGAAUUCCAACUUUUGAAAGUGAAAGCUUGCUGAUAUAUUAAAGAGUUCGUGCAGCGAUAGUGCUGAUUUUCCUUAUCAGUAAGUUUAAACUAAAUGUCGAUUCUCUUCAGCAAAAACCAGUUCUGCAAAAGUUGAAUUGUUUGGACAUGCGUGAUGCUUUUUGGUAGCUACAUAGCUGACAAUCAGAUAUGUGAGAGGUUCAGUUCAAUUCCGCAGAGAUUCCUUUUGCACUUGAUCACAAGUAUCGUUUUUUUUUUCUUUGCUCAAGAAGUAAAUUAAUGUGCUUGAAUAGAUUUUGGGUUAGUAUUGUCUACAAAGCUUUGCUUACUUUGGUCCCUCCUUUUUUAUCGGGAUAUGUGUGAUGCUUCUUCUCUGCAUAUGUGACAAUUUAGCGCAUAAGAAGUUCAAUUCAAAUAGAAAUAGAAUUAUUUAACUAUGGAGUGGUAGGUGUUUCUUUUUCCUUUGAUUGGUAGUAAAUUGAGUUAUUGGAGAGACUUAUUGGCAUUGCCCACAACAUUUGUAUAACUCCUAUCACAUCUAUAUCAACAUGGAUACAUCUUGUCUUGCUCAAUCUAAGAAGGGAUGAACAUGACAACUUAUUGUUAACUUACACUGGCCAUGAAGCAGCUUGUCAUAGACCAGAUAUUUCUUGAUGUUAUAGGCAAUUCCGGAUUGUGUCAUGGCCAUAAUGAUAAUUAUGCCAUCACUGGUAAGACAGCCACUUCAAUUGGUAUUUUCUCAUGAAAAGCAAACAUGAAGUAAUCUAGCAUCAUUAUAGUAUGCAAAAGCUGAGACUUUGUUAAUCAUUGAGUUUUUUCCUAUUUCAUACUUGUAUGAUCUACACAACUGUGACCUGUAUGCUGUCGCUGCCACGACAAUUAUGACCAUUACAAUUGAUCCUCUAUUUCGCUCUACGCUGAGGAAGGUUGAGGUUGAUUUGAUGAUUAAUAAAGCAUGAAGGCAAAUGCUAUAAGAUAUGUGAAAACAUAUAUAAGUUAUCAGAAUUUAAGAUAGAACCUCAAAUUUUAUUUGGCUGUAUGGCAGGUACACAAUGGCUUCAUAGCAGAAUUGAAAUCAAUGGAUAUGAAGAAUAUAGUGGAAGAGAGUAUAGGUCUGCUGGAUGUACUGAGGACUAUACUGUCAUCGAGUAAGUUUCUCAACUUCAGUCUCAGUUUUGGUGAUUGCCUCUCUGCAGCAUGAAGAAAAUGAGCCAAAUAGUUGUUUAAGAUAUUUCAUGUAUUAGGAGGAAGAAACAAGAGUUUGGAUUAUAGCAGUAUCGAUUAUUAGGAACAAAUAGUUUGCUUGAGUUAAUGAAAGAUUUAAUUUCGUCUUUGUUUGGACUUAUUAUUCUGGGUCUGAGUAUGUUAUUGGACCAUUAGUUGCGAAGCAUGAGCCAAACAUGGCAGUUGCAAGGGUAUUAUUGCUGAAUCUCGCAAAUACUGAAGAAUUUUGUUAGUCAAAUCUAUCAACGCAUGUUCAUCAAGUUUUCCUGAGGAGGUCCUGAGUUUAAAUCUUUUCGGGCCUUAUUUGCCCUCUUUAUCAUAUAUUUCACAAAGUCCAGUCUAUGCAUGAGGGAAAGUAUUUAAAUAUUAGUCUACAUCUUCAAGUAACUCAUUAAAUUUUAGAAAGGGACCCAAGGUUUAUCUUUCUUCUUUCCAUCAAUCGCUGCUUGUCAUCAAGGGGAAUCUCUGUUCAUUCAGAUCAAGUAAACUUGUUGUUUUUGUUGGCUUUUUCGUUGCCAUCAAGGAGUUGCUGCAACUUUGUUCCUCUGAGUCGCUGUCUAUUGACCACCCGUCUCAAUCUGUCGCCAUUGAUCUUGUCUUUUCCAGUGAGCUGAAGUCUACCAUCGCAAACUUUUCUCAAGCCACUGUCACGAGUCUGCAUUGCUCCCCAUCACUUCACAAGCUGUUCUUUGUCACUCUUCCUUGUCUUCAUGGCUAGUGGAAACUCGCAAUCAAGUCCCUUUUUUCUCUAAUAUAGGGUUCCGUCAAGUCCUUCAUUCCUGUAGCUGUCUUCGUCUCCUUUGUUGUCCUCUGUCAUUUCUGGUUUGUGUAUCAGUCAAACUUUACGCAUUUGCUCCGGUUCAUGUGCUUUUGUUUCUUUAACAGAGCUCUCUCACUUAUAAAAAGAGAUGAGUCAAGAAAAAGGCUUUAUCCAGUAGCAACUCAUCUUUAAUAACUUCCCCAAUUGUCGUCCUUUAAAAUUUUAAGAAGCCUACUGUAGAUGUUGUUUAUUGUGAGACUCAUCUUCAAUUGAUAGCGUCAUCGACGGGUGAGGUUGUUGUCAAGUUUCCAAGCAAAAGCUGUGAGCACCGGAUACCAGCAUACCUUCAUUGGGCUGCCAAAGUCAAGCGUUGUGGGGUGAUGGAGUUUAGUUUGCUGCAAUUCAAGUCGAGUUUUCACACUAUUAACCUUUGUUAUAUGAGAAAGAGAGGUUUCAAUUUUUUGAUCUUAAUUUGUUUCUUCAGCGCUUUCAUCAAAAGUGGUGUUAACGUGGACUAUAUUCAGUUUGUCCUGUAAGGUCUGGACAUAAUUGUCAUUACCUCAAAUCCAGUUCGAUAUAAUCAACAUCCAUUUUCUAGUCAAGGUCCAGUUUACGC
This 64925-nucleotide long non-coding RNA is filed under the name Eucalyptus grandis. RNAcentral's name for it is "long non-coding RNA (EGRA_LNC002658)". Lineage: Eukaryota; Viridiplantae; Streptophyta; Magnoliopsida; Myrtales; Myrtaceae. The record is from RNAcentral.